UACUGUUUUCUACAUUUCCUUCUGAGAUAGAUUUCUGGAAUUUACUUGUUAUGGAAGUGAUUUAUGCAGGAGGGAAGUUCUGUAUUUCUAAUUUGCCUUAGGCUUUUUGGGACUAAAAACCAGUUGUAAUAUAAACAUUCUUGGUUGGGUUGAUUUCUAUGUGAGGACCUUUAACAAAGGCUUUAUUUACUUUUUUUUUUUUUAAGAUUUAAAAAAAAAAUUUAUUUGAAAGGCAGAGUUAUAGAGAGGUAGAGGCAGAGGGAGAGGUUUUCUAUCUGCUGGUUCACUCUCCAAAUGGCUGCAACAGCUGAUCUAAAACCAGGAGCCAGGAGCUUCUUCUGGGUCUCCAUGCUGGUGCAGGGGCUGAAGCACUUGGGUCAUCUUCUGCUUUCCCAGGCUGUAACAGAGAGCUGGAUGGGAAUUGGAGCAGCUGGGUCUUGAACCGAUGCCCAUAUGGGAUGCCAGCAUAGUAGGCGGCGGCUUUACCCGCUACACCACCUACUACACCACUGCCCCUUUAUUUACUUUUAACAUUUGAAUUUGACGGGCUGGCACUGUGGCUAACAGGUAAAGCUGCUGCCUGCAGUGCCAGCAUCCCAUAUGGGCUCCAGUUCAAGUCUCGGCUGCUCCACUUCGAUCCAACUCUCUGCUAUGACCUGGGAAAGAUGGCUGAAGUCCUUGGGCCCCUGCACCCACGUGGGAGACCCAGAAGAUGAUCCUGGCUCCUGGCUCCAGAUCAGCGCAGCUCCAGCUGUUGCGGCCAACUGGGGAAUGAACCAGCAGAUGGAAGACAUCCCCUCUCCUCCCGUGUAACUCUGACUUUCAAGUAAAUAAUAAACUAAAUCUUAAAAAAAAAGAAAUUUGAACUUGACUUUCUCAACCACUGUGGAUCAUAUAGCUGAUGUUAAGGAAAGGAACUGGUUGUCUAUAAGUGUAAUUGAAGACUUAUGCACUCUUUAAAGAGAUUGAUACUUGGGUAAACCUUGCUGUCAUCAUGAUUCUCUCAACCCUUGCCUUUAUUUGGUCUUGACUAGAGGAAAAUAUACUCUGAUUGAUUGUGUAGAACACCUUUUGACUUAGAUCCGACUGGAUACUACUGACUGAGUUCAUACAGACAUGUAAUGGCUUCUGGGUAAAAGGAGUAUUGCUAUUGAAACCUCUUGUAUGGUAGAUGCUAUGCAAAACAUCCACAGAAUGUGGCCUUUAGAGUUCAAGAAGUUGAUCUGGUAUUCCUGGAUUUACUUUGUCCUUUUUUUCUGGAUUUUGGUAUUUAUAUAUUUGUACUAUUUCUUGAUUUUUGUUCAUUGGUCUAUACAAGGACAUUAUAAUGGGGGGAUAUGAAGGCUGUUUUGUAGAGAUUCUGGAUAUAGGCAUGAAUCAGAAUGGCUUAUAGUAAAUCAUAACAUUUCAGAAAAGAAUCUAAAGAAGAUAGUAGGGAUUUAGUGUUAGUUUACUUUUAAGUAAUAUGCAUGUUAGUUAACAAAAUAGACUUUGGAGUCUGGCUUAGAUUCCUAGUUAGCCAUGUGCUAACUGUCACAGUGAGUAAGUUACCAGACAUCACAUUAAGUCAAUGCAUCAACUACAAAACUGAAAACUUUAGCCUUCUUUUCAUAGAUAAGAAAACAAAUUUAGGGAAAUAAGUAUUUAACAUAGUCCCAGCCUUCAAAUAAAUUUUAAAUUAAAAAUAACCAGAUGUAUCCUAGGUGAAUGGUGAGAAUGAAUGGAGUGAAAGUGUUGCAAAGAUGAUAAAGAAGUUAAACCUGAUGUAUUGAAAUAUAUCUUUAUUCCUACAAUUUGACUUAUGGCAGUUUUCAGCCUUGAAUUAGAUUUAAUUUUUAAAUAAUUUUUCUUCUUACCUUAAAAUUAUUUCUAUUACAUAUGCUUCUAAAGUAUUUUGAACUUGAUUUCAGUUAAAAAACAUGUAUCUGUUAGUUGACCAUUAAGUUUAAGAUAUUAAUGUCUCUUGAUAUUGAGAUGGAAUGGCAAAAGAGAAAUCCUGUAUUCAUUAAACCUAAUUUAAGGGCAGUAGGAUUGUUUUUUAGCUUUCUGUACUUCAGGGUAGAAAUGAAACCAUGAUGUGUGUAUGUUUCUAUAUAUAUAUAUGCAUUGUAUAUGUGUAAUGCAUAUAUAAGGUUUAUUUGACUAAGUGAAACCUGUAAACUUAAUAGCAGAACCUUUCCUUCCUAUUAAACUUGAAGAAGAAAUAGUCAUAUGGAGUCUCAGUAUAGUAUGUAAACAUGGCUUUAUGUUGUGCUUACCUCAAAAUCGAUCAUAGUUGGAGGAGGCAUUUAGCCUAAUGGUUAAGACUCUUGCAUCCCAGAUUGGUGUGCCUGAGUUUAAUGUCCAGUUUCAGCAUCCAAUUCCAACUUUCCACCCCUGCGGAGAGGCAGCAGUGAUGGAUCAAUAAUUGGGUUCCUGACAUUCACUUUAGAGACCUGGAUUGUGUUUCCAGAUCCUGGUUUUGGCCCUGGCUUAGCCAUGGCUGUUGCAGGCAUAUGGAGAGUGAACUAUCAGAUGAGAGCUCUCUCUUUCUGUCUGUUUCUCAAAAAAAAAAAAAAAAAAAAAAAAAAAAAAAAACUAUUAGCUUAGAAAAUUUAGAGAAAUGGCAGUUAAUUACAAUACUCACACCAGCUGAAAUAUACAAAGAUACUUCAGAAAGUUUAUGGAAAAAUGGAAUUUAUUUUGGGAUUGAAAAACUUUAAAGAAAAGAUUUAUUUAUUUGAAAGGCAAAAUGAGAGAGAGAGAAUUGAUUCUGUUGGUUCAUUGUCCAAAUGCUUGCAACAACCAGGUCUUGGCCCAGCUGAAGGCAGGAGCCAGGAACUCCAUCUGGGUCUUCCUCACAGGUAGCAGGGGCCCAGGUACUUGAAACAUCUUCCAUUGUCUUCCCAGGUGCAUUAGCAGGGAGUUGGAUUGGAAGCACAGAAGCAAGGACUCAAAGUAGUACUCCCAAAAGGGAUGCUGGUUUUACAAGUGGUAGGUUAACCUGAUGUGCCAUUACACUGGCCACGUAUUUUGGUGCCAAAAAACAUUCAAAUUCAUGUGUAGUGUUUUAAAAUACACAUUGAAGAUCCCUUGUAUACAUAUGUAUUUCAGUUAUUUUGAGGUUAAAUUCUUUAGAUACUAAUUCUUUUAACUGGGCCUUGGCUUAUUAUACUAAAGAGCAAUAGUGCUUAAAAUGAUAUGGAUACAAGAAAAAAACUAACUUAUGAAUGGAACUGAAUGAAAUGCAUAUAUUGAAUGUGAAUAUUCAAUUUAACUCAAUUCAGUUGAAUUAAAUGGACACAUUUAAUUAUUUAAUAUAUAUUUAUUAAGUGGUAAAGUUGGUGUCCUGCAAGAAGCAGAGACAUACGCAUGAAUUAACAUCACACUAUAGGGGCUGGCACUGUGGUGCAGUGGGUUAAUCCUCCAUCUUUGGCGCUGGCAUCCCAUAUGGGCACUGGUUCUGGUCCUGGCUGCUCCUCUUCUGAUCCUACUCUCUGCUAUAGCCUAGGAAAGCAGAAGAAGAUGGCUGAAGUCCUUGGGCCCCUGCACCCUCGUGGGAGACCUGGAAAAAGCUCCUGGCUUUGGAUCAGCACAGCUCUGGUUGUUAUGGCCAUUUGGGAAGUGAACCAGUAGAUGGAAGACCUCUCUCUCUGUCUCUCCCUCUCAUUGUCUAUAACUCUACCUUCAAAUAAAUAAAUAAAAUAUUUUUUAAAAAUCACACUAUAUGUGUGCAAAAUUAACUUUCUGAUAGUAAACCUUACAAGGGAAAGGUCAACACAGUGCAUCUCUCCCUGUCCUCCUGUGGGGAGAUCUGAUGGGUUCAGCUUUGCUGUAAAAAAGUGGGACAGGUCUCAGGAUAGGAACUGUGCUCUGCUAUAUUGUUUACAGGCAAGUUGGGAAAAGGGGAAAGAGCAUCCAAUCAAUUAAGUGCUAAAGACUUGGCUAGGGGAUUCUCAUAUCAGUUCUACUUGAAUCAGCUGAAGAGACCUGGUUUUCUUCAAAUGGGACUAGCUCAGUCUUCUUGAGUCAGCUACUUGCUAAACUAUGAGAAUGGAGAAGAUAGAGAGCCACAAAGGCUCUCCAAGGUAACAUCUGAUGUCAGUGGGGAAAUCGUUUAAUGUGAUUAUUACUUUUUAUACCUAUGUUCCCAACCAGUCUGUGGUCUUGCUAAGGAUAAAAAUGUGGCUUUAAUUUUUCUGUCCCUAGCACCUUACCAGCACAGUAACUGAUGACAGUAGAGAGUUAAUAAGUCAAUUAGUGAUGAUGUUCCAUAUGUAUUUAACUAAGUUUAAUAUUCCUACACCUUAGUAUUUUUCAGGAAAAGCAACCAUUUUUAUACAAUAAGGUAUAUGCUCUUAGUCUUCAGUUACAUUCUUAAGUAUAUGAAAAAUAUUUAAAAGUGUUCUCUGAAUGGAUUUUGAUCCUUUCCGAAAGUAUUGUGGAGGUGCUAAAGUGAUCAAAUUGACUUCUUCAGGGAUGGUAGACUGGACCCCUGAAUUCUCUAAAUUCAUAAGAAUUACAUGCAAGGGUUUUUUUUUUUUUUAAUGUAAAACUAUGAAUUCCCAUACAUAAAGUCUUCAGGAGAGCAGAUGAUAGCAAUGAUUUUUUUGGAAGCUGGAAAGUAGAAAGACAUGUGGUUAUCCUAGCAUACACACAAAAACUCAGUGAAAAACCAGGAGUAGGAACCAACAAUUGAAAUUAGGCCUCGAAAAAAACUGAGAACAACUCAUGUUGUCAGGUUUUACAGAACAACUCAUGUUGUCAGGUUUUACAGAACCGCCAAGGCUUAAAAAAGUGAUGGAAUCAGAUUCCUCUGGAAAAGGGGAUGAAACUGAUAUCUGUCUUGAAAUAAGAUCUUGAAAGUAAGAUUUCAGAAACAGCUGGAGAAUCUGAUUCCUUCCUUAGCUUUUUCUCAGCAACCAACUUCUCCAUCUUAGCCUUCAGAAGACUUAGAGGACAGUAGACACAAGUUGAGAGAAAGGGCACCAUAUUGAAAACCGUGAAGUUUUAUAUACUAAAUGUUGGCAUACGUCCUCUUCCUCUUUUAGCUCUCUGUCCUGAUUUGGUUCCCAGAACUCUAAUAUCCAGGCUGGUGCUCUUCAUGUGUAAUAGUGAAAGAUAAUCUGAGUGAUUUGAUAAGCCCAAGAGAAAAUUUCUUAAGAUAUAUCCACAGCGUAGUCUCUAACAAAAUGUACAAGUCAGAUCACUUUGAAGUCUAUGGUUGACUAGAGUGAUGAACAUGCACAGAACUUUCAAUCAACUUUAUAAUCUCCCACUUUGAAAUAUGAGCUGAUAGCCGAGUAUCACCAGACAUACAUUUGGGAAAAGUCUGUACCAUGAGGUCAGAACAAACAAAUGUGAAGAAGCAUCCUGGAGAAAAUGGAGACUAUGCAAGAAAAGAGAAACCUAAGGGGCAAAAUGAAAUAAUCUAUCAUCAAUAGUGUUAGAAAAAAAAUAGUGAAAAAAAAGCUGAGAAUGCUAUGUAAAAGAAGAUACAGAGAACAAGAAGAAUGGUUAGAAGUCACGAUAGCAGAAGCUAUUUGAAGGAGAGUUUGGCAGAAAAAAUUGAGAAAAUUUUCUGGAGAGAAUAGUAAACUGAUGAAGAGUUGGAACAUGGGAAACAGGAAAGAUGAAAGAAUAUUAGGUGAUCAGUCUAGCUGAUCCAGCGUAUUAGGCAUUCUAGAAAAAGAGAUCAUAUAAAAUAAAGGGCAGGAAAUCAUAAAAAUAAUGUGGGAAAGUUUUCAAGAAGUCUUUUUUUAAAAUUAAUUUUUGUUCAUUUUCAUUGCAUUUGAAAGGCAGAGAGAGAGAGAAAGAGAGAGAGAGAGAAAUAGGGGUAUAGAUAUCUUCUACCUACUGAUUAAACAACCUGGUCCACACACCUGCAAUAGUGGGGCCUGCACCCAAGGCUUGGAGAAUGGAACCCAAUCCAGGUCUCCCAUGUGGAUGAUAGGGACUAAGUACUUGAGUCUCAUCAUAUGCUGCUUCCCUGGGUUUACAUUGAUAGGAAGCUCUAUCAGAAGUGGAGGAGCUUGAACUGAAACCAAGCACUCUGGUAUGGAAUGCAGUGUCCCAAGUAGUAGUCUAACUACUGUGGCCAGUGCUUGCCCAACAUUUUGCAGAAUUCUAAGACAUGAAUUUCCAAAUUAAGAGACCCACCAAGUUCCCAACAAAAGGAUGAAGACAGACUUAUUAAAGGCAUACUGUAAAAUUUAAAUAGAGAACACAAAGAAAAUCCUAAACCCUACAGAGAAGAAAACAGGUCACACAAAAAUGUUAUGGAGUCAAAAUGGUUUUGAACUUCACAACAGCAGUACAGGAAGCUAGAUUUAAAUGGAGCUUUGUCUUUAAAGUUCUGAUGGGGAAAGUGAUUACUCAUCUAUGUUUCCAUAUCUAGCUAUGAUACCCAGCAAGUGUGGAGGUAGAAUAAAAACGUUUUCAAUAUUGAAAGGCCUCAAAAAUUUACCUCCCAUGUAUCAAAGCUGGGCUAGGGGAGAGAUUAAAGGACAUAAAUAGUCCAAUAGAGAAGAGAUGCAAGUGGAACCCUAAGGCGAUGGUUAUGGAGGUCGUUGCUUGACACUGGAAUAAGUGGCAGAAAGGGCAGCCAGCAUAGCCUGGGGCAUUUGAGAAAGUUGAAAGGACAUAUUCUUUUUUUUUUUUUUAAAGUAAAAAUUUAUUUAUUUGAAAGGCAGAGUUAGAAAAGGGAGUGGAAGAUACUGAUCUUCUAUCCACUGGUUUACUCUGAAAUAGCCACAGUGGAAGGGGCUGAGUCCAGGAGAAACCAGGAGUCUGGGACUCCAUAUGAUUUUUCACAGGGGUGGCAGGUGCCCAAGCACUUUGGACAUUCUGUGCUGCUUUCCCAGGUGCAUUAGCAGGGAGCUGGAUCCCAAGUGGAACAGUUGGAACUUGAACUGCUGCUGAUAGGAUUGCUGACAUGUCAGGCAGCAGCAUAACUGACUUUUCCGUAGUGCCUACCCAAAAAGAGAUAUUUUUGAGACGAUGAAAGUGAUAGUACUGAGUGUGUUUGUGAGGAAAUUCAGAUAGCUGGGGAGAGUGUCUUAACAAAGUAAUGCUAAAUACACAGAAAACGAAGCAAACAUAAAGUUAAGAAAAUUAUUAACUCCGGAAAGCACAAGGUUGUGUAAGAAAGGAAAAGUUAUCAUAUAGCCUACAUGGUUUGGCUGUGAGUUACAAUUAUAUACUUAUAAUAAAUUAAUUUAAUCUAUUAAUUUAUCUAUGUUUUGGAAGAAGAGGUGAAUGGGCACUGUCUUCAGAUAUGUGGUGCUGCUGGAUUAUAUAUGUAAAAGAGAGUUAAAUCUUCAUCUUUUACAGUAGAAAAUCAACAUAGAAUUCUUAAAACUAAAUAAGCGAUGGGGCUGGUAUUGUGGCAUAAUGGGUUAAGCUACCACCUACAAUACCGGCAUCCCAUGUGGGUAUUGGUUUAAGUCACAGCUCCCUGGUAAUGCAACUGGGAAAGUGGCAAAGGAUGGCCCAAGUGCUUGGGCCCUUGCGCCCACAUGAAAGACCUAGAAGAAGCUCCUGGCUUCAGCCUGGCCCAGCCCUGGCCAUUGUGGCCAUUUGGGGAGUGAACCAGUAGAUCUCUAUUUCUCCCUCUCUCUCUCUAACUCUACCUUUCAAAUAAAUAAAAUAAAUAAAUAAAAAAAAAAACACUACAUAAGCGAACACAAAACAAAACCAAACCUCACACUAGCCAAAACAUAGAAACAACUCAAAUACCUAGUGACAUAUGAGUGGAUAAAUAAAAUACACUGUCUACAUACAAUGAAAUAUUCUUUAGCCUUAAGAAGGAAGGAAAUUUUGAUAUAUACUACAACGUGGAUGAACCUUAGAGGCAUUAUGCAAAGUAAACUAACAAGACACAAAAGGAGAAAUAUUAUAUGAGUCUACUUCUUGUAUGAGGUUCUUAAAAUGGUCAAAUUCAUGGAGACACAAAGUAGGGUGAUGUUUCCUGAGGGAUGGCAGAUAGUGACUUACUGUUUGAUUGUUAAAGAAUUUCACUUGGAGAUGAAACAGUUCUGUAGAUGCACAGUGGUAAUAAUUGUUGUAUAACAAUGUGAAUGUACGUAUUGCUACAGGACUGCACACUUAAAAUUGAUGAAUAUGAUAAAUUUUAUAUCAUGUGUUUUUUAUCACAAUAAUAAAACUACAAAAACAAGCAGUAGCACAUAGCAUUUUAUAGGGAGAUAGGUAAACAUCAAAAGAAUGACUGCCUCUGGUGAUUAGUAUUUGGGAGGAAAAAUAUGAUGGGGGAAAUUAUUUCUCAUAAUAAGACCCUAUAGAAUUAUUGGACUAUGUGUAACUGAACUGUGCAUAGAUUUGCAUCUAAAAUUUAGAAAAAAUAUAUUGAACAACAAAGAAAAGAAAUUUAAGUGGUUUUAUUUGGAAUAAUUGGUGGAUGGAUUGGAUAUGAAGUGGGAAAAAUUGCAUACCUCAGAGAGCAAAGGAAAAAUUCCCUUUAUUUAAGAAACCAUGUACAUUUGUCUAUGACAUUAUUGAUUUUCUUUUCUGUUUUAUGUAGAGAUAAUUGAAGAUUCAUUGCUGUAGCAAGAUGGGAUUGGAAUAAUGAGUAAGAUAUAAAGUUCAGUUAAUUCUCUGUUAAAUUAUUGGAGAAGAGAACAGAUAAAUGUUGAUAUAAUGGACAACACAGUAAAUCUUAUUCUUUGUAAUAAGAAAAAUCUUGAAAAAAAUCUUGAGGGUGAUGAUGAAGGCUGAAAAUUUGUAGUAAUCAGAGUGAUCCCUUUUCCUGGCCUUGGGUUCUUAUAAGUUAAAUGUUUACUUGUGUUGAGAAGAGGACACAUGUCCUUCAACACUUUUUUUUUGAUUGCAAAAUAAAUGUCAUGCUGCCUUACCCAUGCCACCGCUGGGGGCCCACACCCUUGUUUUAUAUCUGAGUACCUGUUCUGGUGAGUGAAUGAGUGGCCCCUGUGCUGCUGCUGGCUGAAAGAGGGAGUUAGAUCAGUGAAGGAUUAUUGUGCUCAUGGCUAGUCUUCAUAUGAUUGACUUGGCCUCAGAGUCUUGUGGGAGAGAGCCGAGGUUUUCAUUGUUAUUUCAUUGGGAAACUUAACUUUCUUUUAAACUUAAAGGAACAUGACCCAUACGAUAGUUAUUCUUGGGCGGUUGGUACAAUAACUGAACCUCAUUCCUUUACAGUUCUUUUGGAAUUUUUUACUGCCUCAAGUAUCAUGAAUAAAUACACUGCAGUAAUAUGGAAAUGAGAUUCAAUUUAUUGGACUCACUUUUGACUUUGACCUGAGAUUUUGUGGUGUAGACUUUAGAUUUGAGUUAUGAGUUGAAAUGAAUUAAACUUGUUGACGUAAGUAGGAUGCUGUCUGGCUUGUUUUUAGCAUAUAGUUUAAUCUGUGAAAUGUGUAAGAAUAUUAAAUAGUUACUCAAAAUAAUGUCUUAAGUAUAAUAUGUGAAUAUAAUACAUAGGAUACCAAAUAAUCACAAGUCAUUAUCAGCUAAAGUCUACAUCUGGUUGGGCACUGUCUGUCUGCUUUGCUAAAAGACAAAUAGAAACAAGAUGUAUUUUUAUAGAUAAUCAUUGGAAUGAACUGUCAAAGCUUAUAUUUGUUAAUGGUCAUCUUCCUCUCUCAUUAUUAGUCUGAAAGUUUUUUUUAUGUUACAUUUACUCAUAAAGUUACUGUAUUACUUUACUUGGGUAAGGAUGGUGUUUUCUCAAGUCAGAUGUAACAGCUGCAUGAUUGAAAUAUAGGGUAAAUAUUUUUUUAAAAUCCCUUUCUUCAUUGUUUUCUACCACUUUACAUGGUUAGCCUGUCUGUUUAUUUAUUUAUGAGACAGAAAGAGAGAGACAGAGGAAAAAAGAGAUGUAUCUUCUAUCUCCUGGUUCAUUCUCUAAAUACCCAUAACAGUUGGGAUUGGGCAAGGUUGAAGCCCAGAACUCAAAUCAGUGUCUCCCUCAUGGGUGACAGGGUCCCCUAACUACUUGAACCAUCACCUGCUGCCUCCCAUAGUGCACAAGCAGGAACCUGGAAUUGAAAGCAGAAUUGAGACAUAUCAGUUUGGGAUAGGCAUUCCAAAUGGCAUCUUAACUGCUGUUCCAAAUGUACAUUUCAUUAGUUUUUAAAAAUUUUCUUCUUUUUUACCUCUUUCCUUUUUCCCUUCUUUCUUUUUUCUUUUCCUUCUCUUUUUCCUCCCUCUAUCUUAGUUUUAGAGUUCAAGAUGUGAGGAUUCAGCUUUUUAAGUACUCAAACAUGAUGUAAGAUCUAAAAUCAUAAUAAAAUUUAAAUCAAAUUUGAGAACCAUGGAAUCUGCAAUAUAUAUAUAUUAUAUUUGUAUAAUAUAUUUGUAUAAUAUAUUAUAUUUGUAUAAUAUAUAUAUUAGGAGUAUAAACAACUGCUAAAAACAAUAAUCAAAUCACAAGAUAUCUGUUUUAUUCCUACUUUUUUUGGUAUUCUAUAUUAACUACUACAUAUCAGAGAAAACAUGAUAUUUUUCUUUUUGGACUGGAUAUUUCUCUAAGCGUAAUGGUUUCAAAAUGCUUGCAUUUUGUUGCAAAAGACAGAUUUCAUUCUUUUUUUGGCUGAGUAGUGUUCCAUAGUGUAUAUAUAAUCACAUUUUCUUUAUCCAGUCAUUGGAUGAUGGACAUCUGGGUUGAUUCCAUAUCUCAGCUACAGUGAAUUUAGUUGUAAUAUAGAUGAUGGUGUAGAUAACUCUUUCAUAUGCUGAUUUCAUUUCUUCUGGGUAUAUUCCCAGGAGUAGGAUUGUUAGGUAAUAUGGUAGAUCUAUUUUCAGAUUUCUGAGGAAUCACCAUACUUUCUCCAGUAGUUUAUAUUUCCACCAGCAGUGUUUUAGGGUACCUUUUUCCCCACAAGAUUUUGCUAAAAAUCUUUAUAAAACCUUUUUAUUUAUAAAAAGUGAACAAAUUUCAUAUAGUAUACAUAUGAACAUAUAUACUGUACAUGAAUUUAUUUACCAGUAUGAAAUUUAACAGUAUAGUGAUAUUUCACAUAUUUAGCAGUAAGAUGAUACUUCACACCCUACCCUCCCACCACUUUUCUUUUUCAUUUUUUCUUUCAAUUUUUACACUGAUGUACUAGAUUUUUUUUGUUUGUUUGUUUGUUUUUUUUGGACAGGCAGAGUGGAUAGUGAGAGAGAGAGAGAGAGAGAGAGACACAGAAGAGAAAGGUCUUCCUUUUUGCUGUUGGUUCACCCUCCAAUGGCCGCCACGGCUGGCAUGCUGCAGCCGGCGCACCGUGCUGAUCCGAAGGCAGGAGCCAGGUGCUUCUCCUGGUCUCCCAUGGGGUGCAGGGCCCAAGCACUUGGGCCAUCCUCCACUGCCUUCCCUGGCCACAGCAGAGAGCUGGCCUGGAAGAAGGGCAACCAGGACAGAAUCCGGCGCCCCGACUGGGACUAGAACCUGGUGUGCCAGCACUGCUAGGUGGAGGAUUAGCCUAUUGAGCCUCGGUGCCGGCUAGAUUGUUUGUUUUAUUGUUGAUUUUCUUGAGCUCCAUAUAAAUCCUGGGUGUUAAUCCUUUUUCAGAUGCGUGGUUUGCAAAUAUUUUUUCCCAUUUUGUUGGUUGCACCUUCACUUUGUUGAGUGUUUCCUUUGCUGUUCAGAAGCUUCUUAGGUUUUAUGUAAUCUCAUUUGUCUUGCUUUUAGUGCCUGUUCUUCUGAUCUUCAUUUGGGAUAACUUAGUUUUUGAUUGUCUGAUACCAAGUGUUCACUUCUCCACGUUUUUAUUAAAGUUACAAUUAUAUUUUUAUGAGUAUUUUAAAACAAACUGGUUUUAGAGAGUAUAAAUGUUUUGAGGGGAAGAUUUCUUUAUGAAACCCUAAAAGAUUUUUCUUACUAUUUUCAGGCCUUAAUGUUAAGAAAUGUAUUUUUUUUUAAGUAUAUUUGCAACAGUGGCUUUAAUAUCAGUGAGAAACCAAACUUUAGAUCUUACAACAAUAAAUUUAGACCACAGAAAUUAGCAACACCCAAAUGGGUCUUUCUGGUCUGCUGUUGAAAAUUUGACUUUGGGACCUUAGUGUUUCUACAGUCUCCUCAAAUAACCUUACUAUGCAUCUGGUGAUUAUUUUUCUAGUAGUAGAUUUUACUCUGGGCUUAGUAUUUUUUUUUUUUUUUUACUUCCUUCCAUCCUGGUAUUUUUGAUAUGAACAGUUCAGUUUACUGGUGGGCUAUAGUUUCUUUCCAGUGACUGCAGAUCUCUGCCAUGUGUGCAGAAUGUAGCAAAGCCAAGUUUGAGGUUUGGGUCCAGAGCUUUCCAAAGAUCCCUAUGGUGUGCCCUCUGACCUGGGAGAUGGCUCUUACUGAUGCUGGAGAAACCCAGUUGAGAAUUCCUAGGAUUGUUGUGCUAUCAGCAAGCGCUUUAAUCUUGUCCUCUUCCAGAUGUUUUCUUUCCUGAGCAUGAAAACACCAUCAAAAUAAUGCUAAGGGAACUGAUAUGUGAGGAAGUAAAAGUAAAGGAAAAAGAAGAAAUAUUCACCAUCUUCACGAAUGCCAGAACAGUGGACUAUGGAUAAUGUAAAAGAGGAAUCUUGUAUUUUUUCAUAUCCUUCUAGAUUUCCUUGAGAAAAGUUUUAGCAGGUGACCCUAAAAUAGUUUCUUAAAAAAAUUAGUUACAGUAAAAUUCGCUUUUUUUCUUUUUGUUUUGGUGUAAAUGAACUUUAAAAUAUGCAUAGAUUCAUGUGACCACUAGUGCAAACAUGUUACAGAAGAAUUGUAUCACUUCCUAAGAUUCCCCUUGUGAUUUGUUUCAACCUUUCCCUCCAUCCAUAUUCCAUGACAAGCACUGAUCUUGGUCUGCCACACUGCUGUUUUACUUUUUCCUGAAUAUCAUACAAAUUCAAUAUUGUGAGGUGAUGGAGUUUGUAUUGUUUAUGGGGUGACUUCUCAACUCUGCAUUUUUUCAGCUUGUGGAACUAUAUAUCCAAAUGUAAAUUUUACUGCAUGUAAAUUAAGGUUUCCAUUACCUUGUAGGUCUGAUAAUAAAGGAUCAUGUUGGAAUAUAUGAAGAUGCAUAUGUAUUUUAAUGAUUUUUUGAACUAUGCAGUUUUACAAUGUCAUUGCUAUGUUCCCAUGUGUUUAUAUGUUUCAUUUCCUUGUGUGUGAAUUUCUAUCUUGUUUAUCAUGGAGAACUUAUUUUCUAUAAAUAUUAGCACUCUUUAUAUAAUAGAGACUCUUGCUUUGUCUUUUGAGGUAAAUAGUUUGGGGUGUUUUUUAUUUUUAAAUGUAAUUUUCUUCAAACACUUAAAAAUUUAUGAAGUCAUAUCUAUUGAUCUUUUAUAAAUUCUUCUUUCUGUUUCCCAAGGAAACAUAAGCACAUACUUUUUAUCUUUUUUUAUUUUAUUUAUUUAUUUAUUUAUUUAUUUAUUUUUUGACAGGCAGAGUGGACAGUGAGAGAGAGAGAGAGAGAGACAGAGAGAAAGGUCUUCCUUUUUGCUGUUGGUUCACCCUCCAAUGGCCGCCACGGCUGGCGCGCUGCAGCCGGCGCACCGCGCUGAUCCAAUGGCAGGAGCCAGGUGCUUCUCCUGGUCUCCCAUGGGGUGCAGGGCCCAAGCACUUGGGCCAUCCUCCACUGCACUCCCUGGCCACAGCAGAGGGCUGGCCUGGAAGAGGGGCAACCGGGACAGGAUCCGAUGCCCCGACCGGGACUAGAACCCAGUGUGCCGGCGCCGGUAGGCGGAGGAUUAGCCUAUUGAGCCGCGGCGCCGGCCUUUUUAUUUUUAACCUUUCAAUAACUUUUAUUCUAUUCCUUUCUUUCUUUAUCUGCUGUAUGUUUCUUCUCCUCCCUCAACUUAAAAUUUCUUUCUAUGAAUCCUGAUUAGCUCACUUGUUCAUUCAUGAAAUAUAUAUUGAGAUUGUAUGAUAUGUAAAGUACUGUGGUAUGUAUGAUGGUAUUCAAACCUAACAGACCUGUCCUAAAGGAGAUUUCUACUCUAGUGAGAAAUGAAAAAUAUGCACAAGUAUUAGGAAUCCCAGGUAGAAAAGAAAUUCCAUGGUGCAAAUAUGGAGGACUUGCUAGGAGAAUUUAGAGGAAUGAGAAGUCCCUUGCAGUUGUAUGAGAUGCUCUAAUUUAAUGAUAAGGUGGUGUUUGAAUUGAAUUUGGAUAUAUGCUGUUAAAAGUUACUAGUGUUUCAUAACAUUAUAUCACAAAACUUAGCAGCUAAAAACAGCAGCCAUCUUAAUUAUGGUUAUAAAUUCUGUGGUUCAGGAGUUUGGUUAGGGCGCAGUGAAAGUGGCUUUUUUUUUGCCUUAAAUUUCCAGGAUCUCAGCUGGGAUGACUCUGAGACUAGUAGUGGUUUAGGGACUGGACUGCAAUCUUCUCAGCCAAAAGGCUGAGAAGCGAUGGAGGUUUCUUCACUCAUAAGUCUAGCACCUUCCUUGGAAUGAUUUGAAUACAAGAUUUUCUGUAUUGAGUGCUUAUAUGUGAAUGUGUGACUUUUUGUCACACAUUGAUGACUCAGUGUUUUUGAACUUCCUAAGUGCCCCAGGCACAAUGUGGAGGCCACAUCACUUUAUUUAACCUAGCCAUGGAAGUCACAUUGUGUUGGUUAAAGUUAAAGACAAGCCAGCUCUAGUCAAGAUAGGGGCCACGGACACCCAUCUCUGAUAGUGUUGAGUGUCAAAGAAUUCUGAAGCUUUUAAAAAUCUAUCCCACAGGCCAUAGUCUGAAUAUCUUCCCAGCCUAAGAGAAUAAUGUAAUUUUAGCAAAAUACACAAAAGUGAAAAUCUCUGCAAUAACUUUGAGAGUUUCAGCUCUUGGUAGUUAACCAAAAAAAAGUAAGGUAAGGUAACUUUCUGAAUAAACAGUUAUACUGCUUGUUCCUCUCCUCCCUGCUAAUCUGUCCUGCCAUGAUGUUUUCAGACACCCACAGACAUGGGGAUGCAUACACACACAUAUACACACACAGGGUCCUUCAGGUGUUCUGUGGUUGAAUGACUCUGGGAAACAUUUCAUUAGAAAGUUUUCUUCCUUCAAAAAUUUGUUCACAAGUGCUUGUUGUGAAUAUCAUGCGUAUCUGUCUGCCUUAUUUAGUGGUUUCCUAAAUAAUUACUCAGGAAGGAUAUAUCCACAUAGGGAGAAGCUCUGGGCCAAUAUUGUAAAAUAUUUUAUGUUCAAACAAUAAGUACGUAGUAUAUUUUCUGGAUAACUUAUAAUUUUUAUUCUUCUUGCCUGUUGGAGUUUGGCUUAUUUUCUCUGGUGUUGAUCAUGAAGUGAAACAGGAAUAUAGGCUGGGGGAAGCACAUUCAACAGAUAAUGGAGACUAUCGAAAACAUUAAUGGAUUAUUGCUAGGUUGCUUGCUGAUUAGAAUGUAUAAAUUUUCUUAAUUUCUUUUGUUUAAGAUCUCAACAAUUGAAGAAAACCUAAGUAAAAACACAAAAAAUUACAUUUGUGUGAUUGAAAAUUGAUGGGUGGUCAUAUAAAUUUUCCCUUUGUAUAGUUUAUGUGAUUUUAAGCUUUAGAGACUUUCUGAACCAGGUGAUUGGGAUGGAUUCUUUGUUUCCUCAUUAGAAGGUGAAUGGAUAAAUGACUGAAUCAAGAUGACUAUGGAUGGGAAGUAGUGAGAUUAUUAAAAUUGAAUUUUUCAUUUAUGAAUACCUUUGUGAGAGGCUGCUGAACAUGGCAAUGUCACGAGUUUAUACUGUGAGUUUUAAGUUUUCAACUGACCAGGAUUUAUUUUUUUGAAAGCUUGCAAAACAUUUUGUUCUGUUGAUAAGUUCAGGUUAGUUUACCUUUUCUUUCCUUUUUUUUUUUUUUUUUUAAAGAUUUAUUUAUUUAUUUGAAAGGCAGAGAGACAGAGAUAUCUUUCAUCUGCAGAUUCACUCCUCCAAUGGUCACAGUGGCUGGAGCCGGACUGACCUGAAGCCAGGAGCUUCAUCUGGGUCUCCCAUGUGGGUACAAGGGCCCAAGGAGUUGGGCCAUCUUCUGCUGCUUUCCUAGGUGCAUUAGCAGGGAGCUGGAUUGAAGUAGAACAGCUGGAACUCGAACUGCCUCCCAUAUGGGAUGCCAGUGUUGCAGGUGGUGGAUUUACCUGCUAUGCCACAGCACCUGCCUCUACUUUAUCUCUCUGACAACACUUUUAAAAUUGCACAUCUGUAGCAAAUUUAGAACAGUUUCAGUUAUUACUUAUGCGUAUGUGUUUAUGCGUGUAUGUUUGUAUACACAGUAGAGAACAUUUUGUGUAGGUUAGGGCAGUUGUUUUGGUGGGAAAGAAAAGGCUUUGUCAGGUUGAGCACCUACUUUCAUGUGUGUGUGUGUGUAUGUGUGUGUAUUUGGUUAAAUUCAGAAGUCAGCCAACUACUGAGGUUUCUUGAGUGUGGUUAGCCACUAAAACAGAACAGUGAUAAUGGAUCUUUAUAUUACUUUUUAAGUAUUUGGCAGUUUUUCAAAAUUGAGAAAAUAUUGUUUUAGAAAUCAGAGUGCCCUUUCAUGGGAGUUGAUUACCCUAUAUACUAGUGAGAGAUUAAUGAGAUUGAAGGAAGUAGAGAAUUUGAAAGUCCUUGUUUUACAGACAGUGUUUCAAUGCUAUGGGUAUGUGUUCUGUGCUGUGGCACACAAAAUGAAGAAUGGGGACUUUAAGUCCCAAGGGACCCACUAGCAGAAUACCAGGUGAUCAAAGGGGAUCAGGUGCUGAUGUUUGGAGGAGGGGAAUGUAUGACCAGGAUAAAUCCCCAAAAGUAGAACUAAAGAUGGUAAGUGUUACCUGGCCAUUUCUUGAGGACAUAUGUCUGAAUUGCUUUCAUUUUUUUGUGCCCAUAGAACCUAGUGCAUUGCCUUCUACAAUCUAGGAAUUCAGAGAAUUUUUGUUGCACACACAUAUGCCUUUCCCCAUCCCCACUCCCUCUUUUGGUUGAGCAUCCAUGCACUUAAUGACAGAGCUUCUGCAUAGACAUUAAAACAAGCAAAUGCCAAAAAAUAAUACAGCCUGCUUCCUACCAGAAUGACUUCAGCCCUUCUUAGGCUGCUAAACAUAUGGAUAUCCCAGCUGCUCUGAUGAAGAAGGCUGUGGCCUAACUGGGCGUGUGUGCUGUUUGAUGUUCUUGGUAGGUAUUCAAGCAGAAUUUGAUCUCUUACCAGUGGAGGAGGGAGCUAUCUAUAGCAGUAGUUCCAGAACAUUUUGGAGACAGAAACCUUUCAAGAAUCUAAUGAAAGUCAUGAGCCUUUUCCUUAUAGAAAAAUUAGUAUUAAUUUUCAUAACACUGAAAAAGAUUCAGAUACUUUCUGAUAUAUUUCAAAUUACAUAAACCUUGUGUAUAUAUAUCUGGAUUCUUAAGGUCCAGAAUUAGUGUCAGUGGUGUAUCCUGGGCUACUCCUUUUCUAGUUUCUUCAUGAUUUGUGAAGAACGUAUAGCAGAACAGGUUGAUAAAGUUUUAACCACAUAAGAGUUUAAUUUCAUACCUUUAGUGAGAAAUGGAUGUUAUCGUCAUUAACACAUUGAUACAUAGGUUGGAGAUACUGGUAUGCUUUUCUUAGUAGCCACGUUUAGGUAGGGUAUAGAAAAUAAGUUGACCAUUAUUACAUUUCCUACUUUGGAAACUACCAAUCCAGUUGAUUAGAAUAGUUAAGUGCCCUAAGUCUGUGUGUACUGCUAGAGCCGUUAGCAUCAUCUCCGAUCAGUUGGAGUCAGCGUGACACUCUUCCCACUGUGAUGUACCAUGUCUUAGAGCCCUGCUCCAUGUAGCGGUCUAGGCCAGCCUUCACAAAUAGGUCAUAAAUGGCACAUGGGAUAAAAUGUGUUCAUUAUUCUGGUUAUAAGAGAUUAACUUUAUUUGUUGAAGAGGUAGAGUGUUCAUAUAUUCUAGUAUAGGCAUUUUAGGAAACAUCUUAUUAGCAGUCGUGUGUGUGUGUGUGUGUGUGUAUUUGGAUUUGUGUGAGGCAGCUGGGGGAGUCUGGCCUUCCAUCAUUGCUUCAGUGAUUUUUCUUUUCUUCUAUAAAAAAAUUAUCAUUGGCAACUUUCCUUUGGUUUUUAUGUUAAAUGAAAAAGUUCAAGAAUAUUUUCAUAGAUUUUUGACUUAUGCUUAUGAUGGGAAUGGAAAACAUACUCUCCACCCCCACCCCCACCCCACCCCCUCAGUAUAUAAGGUUUACUUUAAUUCUCAUCUCUGCAAAGUCCAAUUCACAGCUGGAGUUUCUUUUAGUGGGAAUUUCCUGAUUUGAAUUCCUUAGCUUUUCCUACAUGAUUUACCUAUUGUGUUGCAGGACAUUUUUGCUCUUACUAGGUUUACUACUUGAAAAGCCUUACUAAACUUCUGGUGUACUCACAGGUACUACUCUUAUAGCUAUGCUUUUCUGUGUCCUGGUGAUUAAAAAGGAUGCUUCUUCCAUGCAGCCAGCAGGAUUAACAGAUGGCCAUAUUGAACCCCAAAGCAUCUAGGCUUCUUUCCUGCUUUAACCCCAUAACCUCUCCCUUGGUUGGCAAUGUGCUGGUGUUGACAGUUCUCUUAGUUCAGCCAAAGGUGAAAGAUAAUUGCUUGUGGAGUAGCGGCUGGGAUGGUAUGUGUUUUUGCAGCAAGCAUCCCCACCCCCGCCCCCAGGCAGAGCUUUGGAUCUGGUGCAUAUUUCAAAGCAUGUGUUAAACUUUAUAUGAUACUGAUUAAAAUGGAGGGCUCCAGGGUGAAUUGGCAGAGCCCCACCACUGCAUCUGCCAAAUGACAUACAGAGAAAUGUCUUGUUACAAACGGAAGGGCUGAAAUCUAUCUAUUUUAGCAAUAUGUAAGCCCACAAAAUGAAAGGAGACUCUGAGCAUGUGUGUAUACACAGCCUGGGAGCAUCCAGGAUUCGUUAACAAUUCCUUUGUCUCUGUGACAUUUUUCUUCUCCUUUAACCAACAACAGCAAAGUCCAUGUGUGAAUAAUAGUUUGCAUUACCAUGUCCUAUAGGCCUCCAUUCCCAAUGAACAUUUGUUUAAAAACCCAAGUUGGACCAAACAUGGAGUAGCCAGAAUUGUGGGUCUUUAAGAUGAGAUCUAUGAAGUUAAUUCUUAAAGGAAGCAAACUCUUGGCCAGCGCCGCGGCUCACUAGGCUAAUCAUCCGCCUUGCGGCGCCGGCACACCAGGUUCUAGUCCCGGUCGGGGCGCCGGAUUCUGUCCCGGUUGCCCCCCUUCCAGGCCAGCUCUCUGCUGUGGCCAGGGAGUGCAGUGGAGGAUGGCCCAAGUGCUUGGGCCCUGCACCCCAUGGGAGACCAGGAGAGGUACCUGGCUCCUUGCCUUUGGAUCAGCGUGGUGCGCCGGCCGCAGCGCGCUGGUCGCGGCGGCCAUUGGAGGGUGAACCAACAGCAAAGGAAGACCUUUCUGUCUCUCUCUCUCACUGUCCACUCUGCCUGUCAAAAAAAAAAAAAAAAGAAGCAAACUCUUUACAACGCAGAUGUUUAUUUCCAGAGCUUUUAGGUUCCAGCAUUCUUCAUGACCUUUUAGAAAGAAGUAUGCGCUUAUAUCCUAGUAUGGAUCAACACUUUAUCAUAGGCAACAUUAAUAUCUCAGGGUUACAUUUCCUUAGACAUCUUGUCCGCUUUUAUGACUGGGUUAAGAUAAAGAAGCCAUCAAGUCUAAAUGUGACACUAAUAUUUUGUUAGGAAAGCAGAGAGGAUAAGCAAUGUAGAAGAGUAAGAAGGAUGAGUAGCACCAAAACCAAAACCAAAACCAAAAUAAACAAAUCCAAGUUUAAGAUAUUGGUGGAAAGAGGAGGAUGAAAAGAGAUGUAAGCGAGACUUAUGAAUCAUGGGUGAAUAGAGAGAGCAGGCAUAAGAUUAGAGUUUACAGAAUGGAUAGUGAGUUCUAAAUACUCACACUAAGCAGCCACAGUUAUAUUGAUUUAUACACUUAAAUAACUCCAUAAAACACGUAUGCAUUUCAUCACAUUCUCGGCUUCAGGAUCUCUUUUUCCAGAUACUGAAGAAUGUUUUGAUUCUGUGCGUUGUUCUUUUAUUUUUCUGAAUGGCUCAUAAGAUGGCUUUGAGAACUUAUUAUAGGACUUUGUUGUCAUUUAGGUUAAACUUGAGCUGACAAGGCAUAACUUGAACAACCUCACAGGCAAAAAAAAAAAAAGCACUACAGUAAAGGUAGCAGAUCUUGGAUUGGGAAGGCAUAUACAUUUUAUUGUUUAGAACUUGCUUUUAAACUCUAAAAACUUGUGAGAUUUGCAUAUAGGGUUAUAUUCCAGUAAUACAGGUGAGAUGAUCUGAGUCUAUUUUGCUUUUAAGUGUUAGUUGUAUCCUGUUUCUUUUGUUAACUUUUUGCUGCUGCUCCUCCCUGUCCUGUCUUCCCUCUUUCCCCCAGCACUCCUUCUUCUCCUCUUCUUCCUUCUUUAGACUUUUGAAAUGGGGACAGGGAUUAUGCAGGGAAUUGAGAGACAAAAUGCUUGUUAUUAACCUCCCUUUUUGGAACUUUUAUUGAAUUUCAUCUUUAUUUUCCUCUGUAUUAAAGCUUAAUGCUCCAGUCAUUAAGAUACUUACUUCUAAAGCAUAUUUUUGACUUAAACUUUUUAAAAGGAUAGUUUAGAGUAGGGAGAGUUGAUAAUCUGUUUUUCUUUCUCUUAGAGUCCCAGUUGGGUUAAAUAGGACUUGCCCUGAGGAUGUUAGUAUUGACUUCAUGUAAAAGAAGUUUGAAACCUAAGAUUCCACUUAGUUUCCUCUCCUGGGCUUUUAGAAUAUUUUGCACAGAGAGAAAAAUGCAACUGGAAUGUAGUCAGCCACUAAAUCCUAUUGAAUGCCACUUCUUAAGAAUUGCCUUAGAGUUUCAAGUGGGUCAGUUACUAAAUGGAAGCUUCCUUGGAUGUGAAGCAGUCUUAAUUCAUAAAGAAUACUGUGAAAAAGGAAGAGGAAGGUUGUGCACCCUUUUUUGUGUAGUUAAAGUUCUAAAAGAGAAGCAGGAAUAACAGGAAAUUUGGAGCUUGUCUAUAAUCACAUAUUAUGUGAUUAUGUAAAACUUUAUGUGUAAAGAUUCAUCCUUGUGUACUAAUCUCUCUGAAUCUGAUGUCAAGAUUAAUUGACUCUCUUGAGGGUUUAUGCUUAUUUCAAUCAACAAAUUCCAUUGAGUGUAUGUUAAAACAAGUGUCUAUACAGUGUAUCAGGUUGUGUUAUUUUCUAUGAAGAAAAAAAAUGAAGGAUGAAAGGUUUCAUGGUUAUUUGGGAUUGAGUAAGGUGAUCAGUCCUUUAGUGUUUGUUUACUAGACACUUAAAUAUUAAAAUUCUGAUAUUUUCAUGAUUCAUUGUCUCUUAACAUUUAAAACUUUGAUUCUGUUGAAUUUUAGCUCUCUUUGACUGGCAGCACUUAAUACUUUUUCCUCUUAGAUAGAGCAGAUUCUGAGUAUAAAUAACCGUUUAUAGCAAAUGGGCGUACAAUUUUGUAUUUGCCCCUGGUAUUUUUUGCAGUAUCUUGUGCUGGUAUAAAGCUAAACACAGCAAUAGAUUACCAAAUAAUAUUGUUUUAUCUUCCCUUUUGUUAAAGGAGAAGUACUUGGAGCUUCACAAUUAAAGAAGUUUGUGUGUAUUAUAAAUUUAUAUAUUAAGCCAAAACCAGAUUUGGAUGCUUUUCCUAUUUUUGUUGCAGUGGGCUUCCUAAGGUUAUUCAUUGUUAGAUUUGUAGACAUACUUGUAUUCUCUUCAAUUUCGAAGUUGGAAAGUUUGAACUCCAAUCAGGGCUUUGGUAUAAACUUGAAUUUUGAAUGUUUUCCUUUUAUAAGAAGGUUUUUGAAAUAGUUUUGGUAGAUCCCUGGAAGUGUUUUCAGAUUUUAUUCUUAUAUGUAUGUGUAUGUGCAUUAUCUUGGUUUAUAACUCUCAUGGCCUCUCUAAGCAGACUACUCAGCAUUCAAGGUUUAGUCAGAGUUCCUCACUUUCCAUAGUUGGAUGAAGUCAAAUCCGUAAAUAGGAGUGUUAUCUUUGUGUUUCAUGCUGGAGUUUGAAGUCUAUAGGAAGGUGGUCAGGCAUGAGUAGUAGAUUUAAAAUAGGCAGGCUAGAACCCUAGCAUGAGCUGAAACCCAGGAAGGAUGGGCUGGAACCAUGUAAUAAUUGUUGCCCCUGGCCUUGACCAUGUAUCCUCAGAAGCUGAUGCACUUCAUCAUGGAACUAAACACGCACAUGACAUAAGAGAAGCUGAAAGGGGAUCCAUGAGAAGUUAGAGUAAUUGCAAGUCUGAUGCUGCCCCAUGCUGUCAAACUGAAUCAGCAGAUAAAAUGCAUUAUGUGAGAGGCACAAAAUGGCUUUUGCUUCAUUUUCACUUUUUUUUUUUUUUUUUUUGACAGGCAGAAUGGACAGUGAGAGAGAGAGACAGAGAGAAAGGUCUUCCUUUUUCUGUUGGCUCACCCCCCAAUGGCCACUGUGGCCGGCGCACCACGCUGAUCGGAAGCCAGGAGCCAGGUGCUUCUCCUGGUCUCCCACGCGGGUGCAGGGCCCAAGCACUUGGGCCAUCCUCCACUGCACUCCCAGGCCACAGCAGAGAGCUGGACUGGAAGAGGAGCAACCGGGACAGAACGGCGCUCCGACUGGGACUAGAACUCGGUGUGCUGGCGCCGCAGGAGGAGGAUUAGCCUAUUGAGCUGCAGUGCCGGCCCAUUUUCACUUUCUAAAUCUUACACAGGAAUGUCUUUUGUGUCCUACCCUACUUAGAAAUUUAUAGAACAGGGAAUUCUGGGAAAUGUAGUUUGAUAUAUCCAAGUCUACACAUUACAAAUAUAUGUGUGUGUAUGAGUCCAAGACUUGAUAGCUGGGGUUAAAUGUAUAGACUGGUUGGACCACCUGUUCUUACAGAAAUAGUUUAAUUGGAACACAGUGUUUCUCAUUUGUUUACAUGUUGUGUAGUUUUUUGCUACCAACACUGAAUUGAAUAGUUGCACUAGUAGCUGUCUAGCAUACAAAACUUAAAGUAUUUACUAUUUGACCUUUUAAGAGCAAGUUUGCUGACCUUGGUCUGCAGGAACUAAGAGAUUCUAUAACUCCCAGAGCAAGGGUAUCUAGAAACACUUCUCAGAAUCUCCAGAACAUUGUAUUUAUCCCAAAGAAGUUUUGCUAGUUUAUAUUUCCUUUUUAUAAGCAUUCUUGUUAAAAUUUUUUCUUUCUUUAUGCAUAUUUUUGUUUUUGUGGUAUUGAUCAGAAAUAGGAUGAAAGUUAUAUAUAAAAAUAUUGAUUAAUCUAUUCAACUGCAUAUUCAUCAUGUUUUUUCCUAUAAGCUUUAUUAUCUAACUAUGUUGUAUUUUUUUCCUUUAAAUUUUGAUUCCUCAGCUUAUCAUUAUAGUUGUUAAGAUGUGCUAAUAUCCUAGGGUUGCUAUGAUAAAGUUUACUGCAAACCAGGUGGCUUAAACCACAGCAACAAAAAAUACUUAGAAGUUUACUCCUCCACAGAUCUGGAAUCCAGAAGUCUGAUAUCAAGGUGUGGUGGUAGGCAGGGUUGAGUCCUUCUGGGCUCAGAGGUAGAAUGUUCCAUGGCUGCCUUGCUUUUGCCUGCAAUCUUUGGUAUUCCUUGGUUUGUGGCAGCAUAACUCUAACCUCUGCCUUCUUUGUUACAUAGUGUUCUCUCUGUGUGUUGUCUGCAUUUGUCCUUUUCUUUCUUUCUUUUUUUCCUUUAAAGAUUUAUUUAUUUAUUUGAAAGGCAGAGUUACAGAGAGGCAGAGAGAGAGAGCGUGCAAGGUCUUCCAUCCACUGGUUCUUUUUUUUUUUUUUUUAAAGAUUUAUUUAUUUAUUUGAAAGGCAGAGUUACAGAGACACAGAGGCUUAGGGCCGGCUCUGUGGUGUAGUGGGUAAAGCUGCCAUCUGCAGUGCCAGCAUCCCAUAUGGGUGCCCUUUUGAGACCCAGCUGCUCCACUUCCUAUUCAGCUAUCUGCUAUGGCCUGGGAGAGCAGUAGAAGAUGGCCCAAGCCCUUGGGCUCCUUUAACUGCCUGGGAGAACUGGAGGAAGUUCCUGGCUCCUGGCUUUGGAUAGGCGCAGCUCUGGCCAUUGCGGCCAAUUGGGGAGUGAACCAGCAGAUGAAAGACCUCUCUCUCUCUCUCUCUCUCUCUCUCUCUGUGUGUGUGUGUGUGUGUAACUCUGACUUUCAAGUAAAAUAACUAAAUCAUAGAGAGAGAGAGAGAGAGAGAGAGAGAGAGACAGGCAGAAGGCAGAAGCAGAGAGAGAGAGAGUUCUUCCAUUCACCGGUUCACUCCCCAAAUGGCCCCAACUGUCAGAGCUGGACUGAUCCAAAACCAUGAGCCAGGAGCUUCUUCUGAGUCUCCUACAUGGGUGCAGGGGCCCAAGCACUUGUGCCAUCUUCUACUGUUUUCCUAGGCCAUAGCGGAGAGCUGAAUCGGAAGUGGAGCAGCCAGGUCUCAAACUGGUGCCCAUUUGGGAUGCUGGCACUGCAGGUGGACAUAGCUCGGGGCCUGUUCUUCUUUUCUAAGGAUACCAGUUAUGUUGGAUUCAUGCCCACUCUGAUGACUUCAUAUUAACUUGAUUAUAUCUACAAAGAUCCUAACUCCAAAUAGGGUCACAUUCACAGAUAUUGGGAAUUAGGGCUUCAACAUGUUUUUUGGGGGGACACAAUUUAAAUCUUUGCACUAGAAUUUAUAUUUACUGAACACCAUAUAUGACUUUCUUAGCAGCUUUCUCUAAGCUGUGCCAUAUUUUUUGUGCCACACAAAAAAAUGUGGGAAUGAUCCCUAAGCAUCCCAAGUAUCUGAAGCAUAAGUGUGUACUUCAUGAAAAAUGAAUUGAACAGAUAUAACAGAUUCUAUAUUUAGAAAUUAAGACUAACAUUGUAUAUAUAGUUUUCACAUGUUUAGAUGGACUAAUAUAUGAUUUAUUACUAGUUUUUCCUACAAGGGUACUAAACUGCUGUUGAUAAGUCAGUAGUAGUUAGUGACAUUUUUAGUAUGGCUGUUAUAAACAAGGAGCUGUCUUAGGUGUCAAGAUAUUCAAUGGAUAGAAUCCCUUUUUAGGAAAGGUAAAUUUACAUAUUUAUUUAUUUUUAAAAUGAACAUUGAGUUCUUUAAAAAUACUUUAAAAUUUGUCUUCAUUUUAUUUGCAAAGCAGAGAUAGAGAUAGGGAUGGAGGGGAGAAAGGAAGGAAAGGAGGGAGAGAGAGAAGUGAACAGAUGGGGAGGGGAGACAAGAGACAGAGACCUUCUAUCUCCUGGUUUACCCUUCACAUGUCUGUAACAGUCAAGGCUGGGCCAGGCAGAAACCAGGAUUCUGGAACUCCAUCUGCAUCUGUCACACGGGUGGCCAUCAUCUGCUUCCUCCAAGAAUGUGCAUCAGCAGGAAACGGAUUGGAAGUAGAGUAGCUGGGUCUUGAACCAGGUACCCCGAUAUGGGAUAAAGCAUCCCAAGCAGUAAGAUGCUAUCCCAAAUGUCUACCCCUGAAUUGACAUAUGAUUAACUGAUAUUAUAAAUAUUAGGGAACUUGGAAUAAAGGAGUAAUUAGUGUAGUUUAGCUUAGAAAGUAAAAUGUUCCACUUACUUUAGAAUAUAAGAUAUUUUUCUUUCUUCAUAUUUUGCCCCUGGGAAAUGAAAUGAUUGUAUAGGGUGAAUGGAAAUAUGAGGGGAAAAAAGGCCAUCAGAUAUUUUCAUGAUCUCUGGGGGAGAUUUCCGGAUAUUUGUUAGUUAGAAUAUUGUUAUUUUUAAUUAUCAUGUACCUAAGAUGGUGCUCAGUUGAUGAAAAGAUUAUUGGUGAUAAGGAAUAUCUGUAUAGUGGUUCUGCAGUUACUGUUGACAUUUUUGUUAAGUAGGUUGGUGUUUUCUCCUCUUUGCCUUGUAGGCUAGAAAAGUAAGUGCUUUAAGAAAAAAGACUCAUGCCAUUGGAUCGGCGCGGUGCGCUGGCCGCAGCGUGCCAGCCGUGGUGGCCAUUGGAGGGUGAACCAAUGGCAAAGGAAGACCUUUCUCUCUGUCUCUCUCUCACUAUCCACUCUGCCUGUCAAAAAAUAGAUAAAUAAAUAAAUAAAAAGAAAAAAAAAAGAAAAAAGAACUUUGGGCAGCUAGCUACAAAAUGUUGGUAAUAAACUGACUUGAACUGAAGGUUUAAUUCCUGGUCUUUAAUAAACCAUCUCUAUCCUUCUCUAGUGAAGAAUUCAUACUUAUAUAACAGGUUGUCUUGGCUGAGUCAGAGCUGAAAUGAGAAGUUAAGCAAUAUUCCAUUGGAUCUUUCAUGGGUGCUUUGGGUGGGCAAUGUCCUUAACUGUCCCAAAAAAUUUAGGGUCACAAAAGCUUGCACCUAGCCAUGUCUCCUGUUAGUCUGAUGUCGCUCCCCCUCUUCGUGGAGGAACGACACUAAGCCCUGCCUAGGCUUCAUAUCCGAGUCACGGCACCAUUAUGUCGCUCCCCCUCUUCGUGGAGGAACGACACAGGACCCUGCGCUGUUCUUUCGUCUGCUCGGCCCUCCCUGGGUUUGCUGCUGGUUCUUCCCGGGUUGGCUACUGUCCCUUCCACCUCCGUGGAAGGGCGGUUCCCCCUGGCCACAUUCCCCACUUCCGCAGGGGAGCGGCACACCGCCGGCCGGCUCUCUCGGGGGCUGCACAGGUGUUCCCCUUAGAUGUUCCUCUUAGAUGUUCCUGGUGCAUGCCGUCUCUCUCCUCCUUUAUAGUCCUCCUCCGCCAAUCCCAACUCGGCUGCCCACACGCCAAGCACGCUGCUCUCCUCCAAUCAGGAGCAAGUCCUACAGUUUAUUGGCUGAACUGGAGGCAGCUGUGUAGAAGCUGUUUUCUUCUCUCCCAGCGCCAUAUUGUGGGAGAGCAGAUGCAUAGAAUAAGUCUUAAUUCCAGUAACAGUAUAGUCCGAGUUGCUCCCCACAGAUCCCCCUUUCUUUUUAUUUUUUGGCGUUGAUACGCGCCUGUCUUCGGUGUCCCGCGGCACACACUCUGCUCUACUUGCUAGAGUUGCCACAGGUUCUUACAAGUCCUAUCAAUCAGGCAAACCGAAUCCGGGUCCUCUCUUCGCCAUGUUGUGAGGAGGUUUUUAGGCGCUGAUGCGUGCCUGUCUUCGGUGACCUGCGGCUCAUACUCUGGUCGAGCCGCCUGCUGGUGCUUACCGCCUUACCAAUCAGGCAGACCGAAUCCAAGCCUUCUCAUUGCCAUAUUGUGGGGAGGCCCAUUGGUGUUGAUUCGUGCCUAUCUUCGGUGACCUGCAGCUCAUACUCUGGUCGAGCCGCCUGCUGGUGCUUACCGCCCUAAUCAGGCAGACCGAAUCCAAGCUCUCUCAUUGCCAUGUUGUGGGGUGACUUAUUGGUGUUGAUAAUGUGCCUGUCUUCGGUGACCUGCGGCGCAUAAGCUGCUAGCCGCCCGCAGGUGCUCAUCGCCUCACUAAUCAGGCAGACCGAAUCCAAGCCUUCUCAUUGCAGUAUUGUGGGGAGGCCUUUCUAUUUCUCUAUUUCUCUAUCUCCGGGCAUUCCUAUUUCUCCCAUUUUACUUCUAUCUUCCAGCAUUCCUAUUUCUCUCAUUUUACUUCUAUCUUCCAGCAUUCCUAUUUCUCUCAUUUUACUUCUAAACUUCUGUUUCUCUUAUCCCCGCGGCUUCCCGGCGCCCGCCCCGAGGCUGCUUCACGGCUCUGCCACUAGUAUUCAAUCUAAGUUCCCCGGGCUAACCUGGCGAAUUCAACCCAGCUCACGUCUCCGCCCCACGAUUUGGCUUCCCAUCCUUUGCUCCCCGGGCUAAUCAGACGGAUCCCAACCGGGCUUACGUUUCCGCUUCUGGUUUUAACUUUUCGCCCCCUAUUCCCGGGCUAACUUGAGAAUCCCAAAGUGGCUUUCGUCUCCGCCUUGGCCUGCCCCCACAGCUUCAAUUUCCCUAACAUUUUUCUCUACCCGGUAUGUUUCCCCAAGCUUUCCUCCAACAAUGCUCCUCCCUCAUUUCUCCUGGCCUCUCCCCACAGUCCGCAUCCGAGUCUGUUUGUUCUAGCUUUCACUUUCGCUUUCAACCUUAGAGAUUUCUCCCAGCUUCCCCCCGUAGUCCGUAUCCGAGUCUAUGCCUAGGCUUUCAAUAGCUUUUUCCGGCACCUUUUUCGUCCGGCUUUUCCCUAGGCUGUUUGCUAGUCUCUCUCUCCGAUAUUUUCCCAUUUCUUCCCGUUUCUUCCCUCCUAAGUUUCCUAUCCGUCCUAGGUUUCCUAUCCGAGUCACGGCACCAUUAUGUCGCUCCCCCUCUUCGUGGAGGAACGACACUAAGCCCUGCCUAGGCUUCAUAUCUGAGUCACGGCACCAUUAUGUCGCUCCCCCUCUUCGUGGAGGAACGACACAGGACCCUGCGCUGUUCUUUUGUCUGCUCGGCCCUCCCCGGGUUUGCUGCUGGUUCUUCCCAGGUUGGCUACUGUCCCUUCCACCUCCGUGGAAGGGCGGUUCCCCCUGCCACAUUCCCCACUUCCGCAGGGGAGCGGCACACCGCCGGCCGGCUCUCUCGGGGGCUGCACAGGUGUUCCCCUUAGAUGUUCCCCUUAGAUGUUCCUGGUGCAUGCCGUCUCUCUCCUCCUUUAUAGUCCUCCUCCGCCAAUCCCAACUCGGCUGCCCACACGCCAAGCACGCUGCUCUCCUCCAAUCAGGAGCAAGUCCUACAGUUUAUUGGCUGAACUGGAGGCAGCUGUGUAGAAGCUGUUUUCUUCUCUCCCAGCGCCAUAUUGUGGGAGAGCAGAUGCAUAGAAUAAGUCUUAAUUCCAGUAACAGUAUAGUCCGAGUUGCUCCCCACAGUCUGAUACAUAUGGACCACAUGGAACAGAUAGAUUUUAUCUACAAUUGUGCUUUUUUUUUUUUUUUUGACAGGCAGAGUGGACAGUGAGAGAGAGAGAGAGAGAGAAAGGUCUUCCUUUGCCGUUGGUUCACCCUCCAAUGGCCGCCGCGGUCAGCGCGCUGCGGCCGGCGCACUGCGCUGAUCCGAUGGCAGGAGCCAGGAGCCAGGUGCUUUUCCUGGUCUCCCAUGGGGUGCAGGGCCCAAGCACUUGGGCCAUCCUCCACUGCACUCCCUGGCCACAGCAGAGAGCUGGCUUGGAAGAGGGGCAACCGGGACAGAAUCCGGCUCCCCAACCGGGACUAGAACCCAGUGUGCCGGUGCCGCUAGGCGGAGGAUUAGCCUAGUGAGCCGCGGCGCCGGCCAAUUGUGCUUUCUUAAACUGGGGUAAAACAAUCAGAUUGCAGAGAGAGAUAGUAGAUUCCCAAGGAGAAACAAGUAGGAUCCUGGUCAGUGAGCCAGAUCUUGCCAUUUGGCCUGGGUAUCAGAAAGGAGCAUUGAUCUAGCCAGUCUACAGCCUUCUCACUUCACACACAAUUGUAAAUCUGCAAACACGACACUGAAAAUCAUAUGAUUAGGAAUUCCAAUUCUUUUUCAAACUACCUACCUAUUUAAAGGAAGGCUUUUCUGUACAUAAGAUUCCUCUAGAGAUAGAAACUGGGCUGUGGGUGAGAAUAUGAAGUGAAGAAUAAGGUCUAGUCACUUUUAAAUGAAGUUUUUAUGCCAAGGAUUUAGAGGCAUGAUAUUGUUGGAAUAACUUCAUAGAAUGCUCAGGUUGAUGGGCCUAGGGAACCUUCAGGUUGUACAUGUUUUCAGAGAUUUAAUGAUGCCGUUAUAAUUUUUAGUUUUGAUUAUAUAAUUAUGAAAUAAAGUAACAUGUAUAUUUCAGCCUAGUUACUCUGGACUAAAAUUCUUUUUUUUUUAAUUUAAAAAAAAUUUUCUUUUUUAUUUUUUGACAGGCAGAGUGGACAGUGAGAGAGAGAGACAGAGAGAAAGGUCUUCCUUUUGCCGUUGGUUCACCCUCCAAUGGCCGCCGCAGCCGGUGCACUGCGGCCUGCGCACCUCGCUGAUCCGAUGGCAGGAGCCAGGUGCUUCUCCUGGUCUCCCAUGGGGUGCAGGGCCCAAGCACUUGGGCCAUCCUCCACUGCACUCCCUGGCCACAGCAGAGAGCUGGCCUGGAAGAGGGGCAACCGGGACAGAAUCUGGCUCCCCGACCAGGACUAGAACCCCGUGUGCCAGCGCUGCAGGCAGAGGAUUAGCCUAGUGAGCCGCGGUGCCGGCCGUGGACUAAAAUUCUUAGAGCUGGGAAUUGAUAAGAUUAAUGUGAAGGUGAAUGCUUUGAAAGUUUAAAAUGAGUAUCAUGAGUUUAGGUAAGGCAUCACUUUAUUACUUUUGAACUCAUUUUCCCAUUAGUAAAAUAAAUAAUCAAGUAAAUAAGUAAAAUAAAAUAAUAAAGUUAAUCUUUAUCUGCAGUAUAGAGUGAUGACAUUGGUACCAUUAAGUAAAAUGAUGUACAGUCAUGGCUACAUAGUUUUGUAAAAGUGCUUGAUGAUGUUGGGACCCCUGUCCUUUACUACUAGGUAUUCGCUUUCCUAAAGACAGGAAAGAAAAGGAUUCUAGAGUGAACUUGUCCCACUCCUUGGGAGCUUCCAGUUGUGUUAUGAGAAUAGCAAGGGAGUGGCAAUUCUACCCUUCUGAGCUCUGUUUACUGUGAAAGCAAGUUACCUUUUUGGGGGUCCUGCCCUUCCAGGAUGGCUCCUUUAUCAUGAGUAAGCCAGACAGGGCAAAUAAGAUUACAAAUCAGGUCUUUUGAUGGGUUUUGUUCCUGCUUUGUAACUGUUAGCUUCUUCCAGUUUUUUCCCCCAUCAAAAUUGUGCUUAGAAACCCCACUACCAUUAGUCUCUUUGGUGUAGCCUCUCUUGGAGCUCCCCUCCAGACCACUCUGGCUGGAGGUUUCUGACUUAAAUAAAUUUUGCUUUUCUAGAAAGAAAAAAAAAAAAGUGAAUCUGUUAACCUGUUCUGUUGAAUAAGAUAGUACCUAAAAAUUAGUCCUGAUGGAUAUAGCAGGUGCUGUUAAUGCCUGUUCAUGCACCUUUAGCUUUAAACUUCAGUGCAUGCACCCAUCUCCAGUUGCCAGCACUUUCACCUCUUUGCUUAUGGGCUUUCUCUGGAAGCCAGAAAGGGAGAAUUAAUGCCACCUCUUCUCCCCUCCUGCCUUCUGCUUCAGUAAUGCUCAAUCAAUAUCUCAUGGAUGGAGGUGUGUAAAUAUCUCAGCUCCUUUACUUAUCAGGUAGGAGGAUGAUAUAGAAUACCUCUGAGGCAGGUAUUCUAUGUCAUUUUUGAGUUUCCCAUGGAAUUGAGUUUUACUUGGCCUACCUUGCUUAAAAGCAUAUCCCUUUUGAGUUCCUUCUCUCUCUUUUAUUUCCUCAUUUCCCUACUAGUCUUUCAAGGCUUCCUUUCCCAAAUAAAUUCCUUGGAUUCAAAAUUCCUGUCUCAGGUUCUGUUUCUGGGGUAACCUAAAAUAAGAUAGCAUCAAUAACAGUGAACAGUCUGGACUCUGUUCCUAUAUGAACUCAGUAGGAAAUGUGCAUUUCUAAUGGCUCCAAGACAAAACAUAUAGCCAUGACUGUCACAGAAGUCCAGCUACUCUCUGUUUUACCUUCCCUAAAGAAUACAUACCCACACUUUGGCUGUGGUGAGGGAGAAACAGUUGCUUGGCUGUGAAGUUAGAAAUGUAGACUUGGAGCCCGAUUCCUUCUUAAGCAGACUUUCAGCUAAAGCCCUUUCAAACUUCAUUUUCUGUCUUCCCUUCCUGAGGUACCUAGUGCUUCCAAUGUAAUAUAAGUCAGGCUACCUCUUGACAUUCUCCACUACUUGCUUUGUCUGACUACCCACUGGACCAGCUUCCAAAAUUUUGUUGCUCUUGGUUCUUCUCUUUUAGUUGAUUUGGUGGGAUUUUGUCUUGUGGAAAAGGCUGUUUAGUUUUGUUUUAGUGGAGUUGUGAAUAUGUGUGCUGAGUGUACAUGUUCAAUCUUCCGUCUUUAAGUUGAAAUGUAAAAUUACUGUUCACCAAAGAAAAUUGAAUAAAGUAAGGCUGAACAGCCAGCAGUAUUGAACAAAAUGAUAGGUGACAUAAAAUACCCCAAUAGUUAACAAUUUGUAUAUUUGUGGGUUUUUUUUAAAGAUUUAUUUAUUUAUUUAAAAGGCAUAGUUACAGAGAGGCAGAGGCAGAGGCAGAGAGAGAGAAGUCUUUCAUCCACUGGUUCACUCCCCAGAUGAUUGCAGUGGCCAGAGCUGCACCCAUCCAAAGCAAGGAGUGCGGAGCUUCUUCCUGAUCUCCCAUUCAGGUGCAGGGGCCCAAGCAUUUGUGCCUUCUUCUUCUUCUUCCUUCUUCCUUCUUCCUUCUUCCUUCUUCUUAUUCUUCUUCUUUUUUUUUUAACUUAUUUGACAGGUAGAGUUAGACAGUGAGAGAGAGAGAGAGACAGAGAGAAAGGUCUUCCUUCCAUUAGUUCACCCCUCAGAUGGCUGCUACGGCUGGCGCUGCACAGAUCCGAAGCCAGGAGCCAGGUGCUUCCUCCUGGUCUCCCACGCGGGUGCAGGUGCUCAGUCACCAGGGCCAUCCUCCACCGCCCUCCCGGAGCUGGACUGGAAGAGGAGUAACCGGGACUAGAAAAUAGUGCCCAUAUGGGAUGCCGGUGCCUCAGGAAGAGGAUUAGCCAAGUGAGCCAUGGCGCUGGCCCCCUUGCGCCAUCUUCUUCUGCUUUCCCCAGGCCAUAGCAGAGAGCUGGGUUGGAUGUGGAACAGCUGGAACACGAACCGGCAUCCAUAUGGGAUGCUGGCACUGCAGGCGGUGGCUUUACCCACUACACCACAGUGCCAGCUUCAACAAUUUGUAUAUUUCUGGCAUCUGAGAAAAAAACAUGUCAAAUGGUUAUUUCUUUCUAUGCUGUCCAUAAAGUACUUUUGAGUAAGAAGAAGCACAAAUGUGGAAGUUGGAGAAGAAACUGAAGAUUUUGUGACUUCAGUGUGUAUGGGUAUGUAUGCUCUAUUUGUGUAGGAUAUUUUGUACUGAAUAUCAUCAUUUGGAGUAUAAGUAUCGUUUAUAUGUUGUACAAGUCCUUUUUUUUGUAGUUAGGAGGAACAAGACUAUAAUACUUAACUGUUGCUUACAUGAGAAGUUUAAGGGUUUGAACAUAAAUAAUUUAGAAAGUUUGGCUACUUUUACUAAUGGAAUAAAUAAAUAAUUCAGAGUCUUGCUUAUGACUACAUAGUAAUCUCAGAACAUAAUCUUAAUCCUUUCUCUCUGAAUCCUAGGCUUUUCUAGAUAGACACAGUGGAAAAAAAAUCUUCCUUAUUCAUGUUACUCUACCUCUGUUGAUUAUCAGAUCAUAAUUGUACAUUUUAUCAAUUAGUGCUUUUUUUCUAAGAGAGUAUCUCCCUCCCUCUACCCCAUGGUACUGACUGUUUUAUUAUAUCUUAAAACUUACUAGUUCAGUAAGUUUUGUAUAUGGCAUGUUUAUUAAGUUACAAAAUUCUGUGGGUGGUUUUUCAUUUGUUCCUUAUACUCAAAAGACUGAGCUACCUUAGGAAAUCCACUUUCCCCCACUCCAGACUUCAUCUAUGAUGGAACUUAAAAGAAAAAUUCUUGGCUGAGCCUGAAUACUUUAGAACCAGCUAAGUGGUUUUCUCUGUCUGGAGAAAAUUGGGAAAAGGGAAUUAUUAAGCCCAGCAAAUGUAGUUGUUGAUGGAAAUGCUGACAGACUGGUCCUGCUUGGUGCCACUGUCAUGAGAAGUCAGUCAGUAUUAACUGUAUUGUCAAAAGCUGCUGCUUAUGUACAAGUUGUGUCUUGUAGGCCUUGUCACAUAUAAAUAAACCCAUUCAAAAAAUGUUAAGUGAUUUCCAUAAAAAACAUUUAUUCUGUUCUCAUUCUUAAGCCAAAUACUUGUUGUUUAUGGCUUCCUGUACCCAACAGUUCCUGAUUGUCUCAAAAAGCAAAACAUGUCCUGCGUGGAUUAAGCUGCUGAAAUGCCUUUCAGGCAUUGUUUAUGAGUCUGCCCUCUUUAUUUUCAGAGAGAAAGCGAAUACUUUAAUGUCUUCCAUAUUCCAUAAAUCUGUCCCAUGCUACAAUUCAAAGCUGUGUGUGUUUUUGUUAGAAGGUACUUCUGGUUGUACUUAGAGUGGAAAAGCUGCCUAAGAAUGUUAGCGAAUAUUUGGGUGGUGGUGGCAGACUCCCCUAAAGGGGAUUUAGUACUGGUUGAAAGUGCUGUUGGUUUUUUGGCUUAAGGAAGCAGUUACUAAAGGUGCUUUUACAGUUAGUAGUAAUGUAGCCACUCUUUGAUUGCUUUGCACCAGUGUUUCCUGUUUGGCUCAUCCUUUGGGACCAGUCUUCCCUCUGGGCAAGCUUGCUAAUUUACCACUUCUGACUCCACUGCUAAGUAGCAUACAGAGUGUGCCUGUCUAGUGGUCUGAAUAGAGGGAAAGUGUCUUUACUUGCCAUAAAUGAGAAUAUCUCUGGAGACUGAGCAAAAAGUAAUUUGAAGUGGAGAUCAAAUUUACUAUUUUUUUCACAUUUUAUUUGGUAAAAUUCUGAACACACAGAAAAGUUGGAAGAAUUAUAGUUACCAUCCAUACUUAUCUACUUUCUACUAUCUAUAAUCAAUACCUAAUGAUACCUGUUUUAUUAUAUUUUUUCAUCUAUUAUCCAUCAACCCAUCAUAUCAUUUUCUUUUUAUAAUUAUUAUUUAUUUAUUUGAGACACAGAGCUCCCAACUGUUGGCUCGUUCCAUAAAUUCCUGCAAUGGCCUGAGCUAGGCUGGGUUGUAAGCAGUAAGCUGAGAACUCAGUCCAGUUCUCCCAUAAGGACAGCAGGAAUCCAUCUUUCCAAAUCCCUAGAAGGAAUCACUGCUGCCUUACAAGGUUAGCAUAAACAGGAAGCUGGAGUCAGGAGCUGGAGCCAGCCAUCCAACCCAGGAACUCUGAUGUGAGAUGUGGACAUCUUAACUGCCAGGCUAAAGGCCUGCCCUAUCAUCAUGUCAUUUUGUGCAUUUCAAAGUAAGUUUGAAAAAUCAGUACACUCAUCUCUCAACACUAGUAUGCAUACAUUAAUGAGAGCCUACUAUCUGUUUAUUUUUUCUUUUGAUGUAAAAUUUAAAUACUGCAGUAUGUAAUCUGAAAUGGGUUUUUGACAAAUGUGUACACAGCCCUUAUUAAUACACAGAUCACUACCAUCACCCAGAAAGUUUUCUCAUGCCCUUGUGUACCCAGUUCUCUCCCCUUACUCAUUUUCAUUAAUGAGUAGUAUUUCCAAGUAUGAAUUUAACUAUUUGUUUAUUCAUUCUGCUAUUGAUGGACAACAUAGUAUGUUUCAGUUUGUGUCUAGAGAUUAAAGCUACUGUGAAUGUCUUUAUAUACACCUGUUUAUGAACAUAUGCUUCAUAUCUCUUGGGUAAAUUAACCAAGCAGUAGCAUUUUGGGUCUGAAUUUUAUGAGAUAAUGUCAAAUAUUUUUAGAAAGUAGUUCUACCAUUUUACUUCUUCAAUUAAUGUAUGAAAGUUUCAGUUUCUCUGCCUCCUUGCUAACAUUAUUUGUUGUCAGUCUUUUAAAUUUUAUUUUGGUGGGUAUGAGGUGCUGUCUCAUGUGGUCAACAUUUAUUUUAGGGUUAUCUUGGGAAAUGAAGAAUAAGAGAUAGAAGGUACAUAAAAACAAAUUGCAGUGGCCCAGGGAGUGAGUUUUCUGCCAUACUAUGGGACAUGGGUAAACCACUAGAUGAAGAAAAUACCAAGAAGGGGCCAGCACCGUGGCUUACUAGGCUAAUCCUCCGCCUGUGGUGCCAGCAUCCCAUAUAGGCGCUGGGUUCUAGUCCCAGUUGCUCCUCUUCCAGUCCAUCUCUCUGCUGUGGUCCGGGAAGGCAGUGGAGGAUGGGCCAAGUGCUUGGGCCCUGCACCCCAUGGGAGACCAGGAGGAAGUACCUGGCUCCUGGGUUUGGAUCGGUGUAGCUCUGGCCGUAGCGGCCAUUUAGGGGGUGAACCAAUGGAAGGAAGACCUUUCUCUCUGUCUCUCUCUCUCACUGUCUAACUGUAUCUGUCAAAAAAAAUAUUAAAAGAAAACGCCAAGAAAAACAGGACAAAAAGAUGGAGCACCUACCUGAGGAAUAGCAGGACCAAAGUCACUUCAGGGAUUUGGAAAGAAGAAUUACUGACUUGGAAAAUUAAAUUUAGUUGACCCCCUCCCUCAUUAUGAAAGUACUUUAUUAAUUAACUAAUGAGAGAGGGAGAGAGAGAGAGAGAGAGCGCGCGUGCGUGAGCGCUUCCCCAUCUGCUGGUUUACUCCCCAAACGUCCACAAUGGCUGAGUGUGGUGGGGAAGCUGGGAGCUGGGAACUCAGUUGGCAGUGGCCAAUUGUAGCCUUCACCACUGCCUCCCAGAGUUCUCAGUAGCAGGAAGCUAGAAUCAGGAGCAGGAGCCAAGGGUUGAAACCAGAUACUCUGAUGUAGCAUAUGAGCAUCCGACUGGCAUCUUAAGUAUUAAUUUAAUAAUAUUUAUUAUUAAAACUUGUAUAGAGGUAUAAAUAAACAGGAAUGUAAAUGAAAAGGCUAUAAUUUAUAUGUAUUGCUCAAGCCCAUUAUUGCAAGUGUGUAUAUACUGAUAUGCAAGUAUAGAUAAAUAAAUGAUUCUCAUUAACCUAUAGAUGAAAAUCUAAACUAUCUCACCAAAAUGUUAACAGUGGUUAUCUGUAGGUAGUGGGAUUCUUUCAUUCCUGUUAACAUUAUUAUAUACAUAUUUGCAAAAAUGGGCUUGAACCAAACUUAUAAAUUAUAGCCUUUUCAUUUACAUCUUGGAUACAUUUAAUGUCCAUAGUAUAAAUCUACUAAACCAAUUUAAAAAGUUUGUUAUGUAUAUAUCAUAAAUUAACUAUUCCUCUAUUAUUGGAUUUUGGAUUAUUUCUAACUUUUUUAAAGCAGCUAUUUUUUUGGAGAAUUUGCUAAGUAUAACUUGCUGGGUGGGCAGAGUUGAGGCAGGUAGAGAACCUGAAAUGCAAAAGACAUAGUUUUGCCUUCUAGGAACUCAUUAUUCAGUGAAACUGAAUCAGAUGCCAAAGUCAGUCUUUUUCGUAGUGAGCUAUUAAGGGACUGUGUUGUGAUUUGUACAAAAACUCUUAAGUAAGACUUAGUGUGUCUCUGUUGCUGGUUAGUCCUGUGUGAGUAUAUCUGGGCUGCAAAUUUUGAUAGAGUUUAGUAUUCGAACAAGUAUAAUAAGUAAGUUGUCAUUAUAAAUAGAAAACUGUGCCUUUCAUUUUCAAAUGUUAUUCCAUAGAACACUAGAAUUGUGUGAGAAUUGUACAGGGGUUCAUUGAGAGAAAGUGAAAUCUCACAAUUGGACAUGGAAGCCUGGUGUAUAAACAGUAUCAUGGAGUAGCUUUAUAACCUUCCUGCUGUGGACAUCCAAUUAAGACGGUUUUCUCCCACAGUUUUCUUUUCAUUGUGUUUAUGCAGUCAGAACCAAAUCAGUUCAGAUAUUAAUACUCAGUAACUUGUCACUCUAUGAGUUACAUCUUUUAAAAUUAUUGAUAGAAUAGUUCUGUUUUUUCCCCUCUGUCUCUUGUGGUCACCCUGAUGGUAAUACAAACGCAUAAUCUAUCCUUUCACAAUUUAUUUUCAAUAUGAAGCUUACUAAAAGCUCAGUAAGAGUUUUCUUACAGAAGAGGUAACGGUUAAAUUUACAAAGAGGAAAACGGGAAUAUAAUAUAAAAAGAAAAAUGACAAAAUAUGUCUAGGAGUUUGUGUACUUUUUGUCUUACUACUGUCUGAAUUUUAUCUGGUUUAAAUUGUGUUCCUCACCUCCUGGGAUUUUGUUUCUUGAACAGAAUAAAUAAUAAGUCUGUCUAUCCAUUUGUGGAAAAGAAAUCUUAGGAAAAAAGAGCAGAUGGUUGGAGCCAUUGUGUUUCUUACCCAGCUGGGAAGGAUACUAUUUUCAAAUGUUAUUUCCACUGUGUUUAAUACGGCUCAAGGGCCUUUUUCUAGCACCUUUUUUAUUUGGCCAUGUGUUUUGCCCAGCUCAUGGUGGGAUAGAGAACUCUGGUCAAGAUUUUGAUUCUAGGAAUUAACCAGCCAUUGUGACUAGUAAGAUUAAGAGCCUUCUCAGACAGAUUGUAUUUUUUUUUUUUAAAGAUACUCUGGUUAGAAGAAAUAACUUUAUGAGCUGAAACUGGACCUUCCUUCUGUUUCAUGAUCAGUGAAGAGAAGGGACUUAGAAGGGUUAUAACUUUAUAAAUGGGUGUAUACCUCUGAAGCCAAAAGUAUUUUUAGUUUAUAUUGGUUUUAAUAAAUUAAGAUUACAGUAUUGUUGUGGCUAGUGUCUUUUAGGAAAUCCAUUUAAGAAAUUCCCUUUCUUACCAGCUACAUUCUAUCUACUUAUUCUGAAGUUUUGAGUCAUGGAGCUAGUUUUUAUUUUAUGAUUGAAAUGUCUGUGGCUGCCAUUUUUUUUAAAGUCACAUUUCACUUUAAUAAAAAACCUACACUGCUAAGGUUACUAUCUGCAUUAUUAAAUCCUGCAUGUGCAUGGGUAUGAUUCGUAGAGAUUCCCUGAACUUGCAUUUGUCUUCAAACAACACCACUUUGCCACCAUUAACCCUAUUCAAAAACAUGCUCUUCAAAUGUUCUGAGCAACUGUGACAAAACGGGAGCAACCCUCAAGGUCCCCUCUUUGGAGGAAACAGAAAUCACGGAGCCAGGGGUGGGCAUUGUGGCGUUAUAGGUUUAGCUGCCACUUCAGACACCCAUAUCUGCUAUCAGAGCACUGGUUCAAGUGCUGGCCACUUUCCUUCUGAUCCAGCUCCUUGCUGAUGUGCCUGGGAGGCGGCAGUUGAUGGCUCACGUCCUUGUGCCCCUGCAACUUGCAUGAAAGACCUGGAUGGAGCUCCAGACUCUGGGCUUCUGCCUGACCCAGCCCUGGCUGUCACAGGCAUUUAGGGAGUGACCCAGUAGAUGCAAGCUCUUCAUCUCUCACUUGCUCUCUGUCAUUCUGCCUUUCGUGUGGGUGAAAAAUAAACUUUUUAUUUUUUUUUUUUUAAAGAAAGAAUUCAACAGGUUAAGUCCUUAUCCUACCUACUUCACCCCUUCCUUGGUAGUGUUUUUGACAACCUAAUGCUUUCAAACUGUCUAAACUAUAAUGAAUCCCAAAUGCAGGUAGCUAACAUUUUAUACAGUUCCAUUGAAGUAUAGAGUUGAUUUAAGCAUUAACUCUCUGAAUUUGACAAAUGCUUUCAUUGUUUUUACUCAAUAUGUUAUCCUGUUUGUCCAUACAUGUUGGAAUUUUAGGGAUAGAUCAGAAUUGGAUAAGAAUUAGUACACAUUAUUGCUUUCUUUUCAAGAGGUUCAUUCAUUCAACGUUAAUUGAAAGUCUAUAUCAGUGGCUGGCGCUGUGGCUCACUUGGCUAAUCCUCCGCCUGUGGCACUGGCAUCUCGGGUUCUAGUCCUGGUUGGGGUGCCGGGUACUAGUUCUGGUUGCUCCUCUUCCAGUCGAGCUCUCUGCUGUGGCCCAGGAGGGCACCGGAGGAUGGCCCAAGUGCUUAGGUCCCUGCACCCGCAUGGGAGACCAGGAGGAAGUACCCGGCUCCUGGCUUUGGUUCGGCGCAGCGCCGGCCGUAGCGGCCAUUAGGGGAGUGAACCAAUGGAAGGAAGACCUUUGUCUCUGUCUCUCAUUCUCUAUGACUCUCUCGCUGUCUCUCUCUCUCACUGUCUAACUCUGCCUGGCAAAAGAAAAAAAAGAAAGUCUAUAUCAUAAUCAAGUUUUGUAUUUGAGAUUCAUAAUCAAGUUUUGUAUUUGAGAUUAAAAGACUUACAAGACUCUUGCCUUUAAGAUUUAGAACCACAGAAGCUUGACAGACUGAUCAGUGACAAAGGUAUGCUACCUUGCUGGAUGUGUGUAUGCUCACAGAGGCAUCUACACCAGAUUGAGAUAAAUUUGGAGGGUGAAUAUGAGUUGGCCAGAAAAUUAGGGUAAGAUCCUGUUCCAGGUAGAGGAAAUAUUCUGUUCAGGGCUUGGAGGUUUGUGUUCAAGAACUUUAAGUAGUUCACUGAGGCCUGUAUGAAAGGGUAUGUUUGUGGAAAUGUAUCAAAAGAUGGAAACAAAGAAGUGUGCUGCAAACAGGUGAUGAUAGACUAUAUUCUAUGUUAACAGGACUGGAAUUUUACCCUUAAAGUUAACAUUGCAGGUUUGAAGGAAGGCAUAGACUUGUGAGAGUUGUGGAUAGACAAGGUUCCCUAGAGAGAGGUUAGAGGCUAGAUUAAAGAAGGAACAGUCUGGAGGCAGGAACUCCCCCAGCCCAUGCUGAGGAUCCACAGCCUUAAAGCUAAAGAUGAAGAAUAGUGACUUUUUCAUUCUUGAUUUCUUUGUCUUUUUUCUUUGUUUGUUUCUUUUUAGAAGUGGCCUGAUCUAAGACAGAAUGGUGAAGUGUAAUGGGAGAAGGAAUAAUGGCUCUAUUUGGAAAGGAGCAACAACAAUAAACAUGAAGACUAGAGUGCUUAUUUAUCAGACGCUGUUCUAAACAUGUUAUGUGGACUGUUUGAUAAUUAUUUUAUUCUUUACAGCAACUUGAGCUAUUACUAUUAUUUUCUCCAUUUUACAAAUGAGGAAACAGGAAAAGAGAGGUUAGAAAGCACGUUUUUCCUUAGUCACAUAACUAGUAAGUCUCAGAGUAAGGAUUUGAACCCACACUACCAUGUUUCAGAGUCUAUGAAUUUUUAAAACUCUUAUUUUGAAAUACUGUGACACUUAUAGUACAAUUGUAGAAAUAGCACAGGUUCAUAUAUGCUUUGUCCAGUGGCUGGUGCUGUGGCAAAGUGGGUAAAGCCACUGCCUGCAGUGCUGGCAUCCCAUAUGGGUGCCGGCUCUAAUCCCAGUUGCUUCACUUCCAAUCCUGUUAUAGCCUGGGAAAGCACCAGAAGAUGACCCGAGUACUUGGGCCCCUGUACCCAUGUGGGAGACCCAGAAGAGGCUCCUGACUUAGCUCCAGCUGUUGCUACCGCCUGGGGAAUGAACUAGCAGAUAGAAGAUCUCUUUGUCACUCCCUCUUUCUCUGUAACUCUGCCUUUCAAAUAAGUAAAUAAAUCUUUAAAAAAAAAAGCAACAUAUAUGCUUUGUCCAGAUUCCCCAAAUGUUACAUUUUAAUACAAUUGUUCUAUCCAUCUUUCUCUACAUAUGAUUAUAUAUGUAUAUAAUUUUUUAAAAAUGGUUUUAGAAAUAUAGACACAAUGGCCUCUUUCUAUAAAAGUUGCAUCCUCUUACAUAAUCGCUUUGUCAAAAUUAGGAAAUUAAAACCCAUAUAGUAUUCUUCUCUAACCUACAAACCUUAUUCAAAUAUUAAGAAACCAAAAACGUUGUUUUGGUUCAGGAUUCACCCCCAGAUCACUUGUUCAGAGCCCAUGUUCUUAGCCAUCUCUGCACUGUACAACCUUUCCGUGCAGCUAGUCACCAUUGCUAGUACUAGCAGAACUACCAAUGGGAGCUAAGCAUUGAAGAUACUGUUUGUUUUGAAAUCUUCGGUUUCCUUUUCUUCUUCUCUUCUUCAAAAUAUUUUCUCCAGUUAACAAUGCUUCCCUUUUUCUGCCCUCUCCUCCCAAUUCCUAUUACAACUUUGAAGCCAUCAUGAAGUCCCUUGGAAUUAACAAUUUUAGAGGCAGAAAUGUUGUCCUUCUGCCAGAUUUCCUUUCUUCUCAUGGAAAAAGCAUUUCUAAAAAACAUUAUCUUAACAGACUACAACUAAGAGGACCCACAUUUCCUUGGUUUACCUUUAAAAUGUAUCUUUUAGAACUGGAGCUCUGAAUCUGGGAUCUGUGAACGAAAGGUGCACUUUUCCCUCUGAAGUGAUCACAGUGUUAGAUGGAUUUGUGUGGAUUUCUGGGGACAGAGUCUGUAUCUUCCACGUGGGUUUCAAAAUUGUUGGUGACCCAGACUAGUUUUAAGAGUUUUCUUGUUGGUAUUUUCUCUUCUAGAGGAUGGAAAUUGCAUCUUGAUGCAUUUUCUUAGUCUCAUGAAAUCCUAAUAUGCAACAGAGUAGUAGGUCCUCUCAAAUUUUAACAUGCACUUCUUGAGAAUUCACGUUGUACACCAAUUGAUGUGAGCAUGGACACAUGUUAGUGAUCUCUGUUCCUAAUUUAAACAGACUGCUGUUGUGGGCAUUUUAGCUAUCAAUCUGUUCUAGUUCCUUAACAAGCAGCCCUAUCUCAUCUCCUUCUUUUGUGACCUCUUCUAGGGAAUGAAUGCCAGGCCAGCCACACUGUUUCACUACUGGGCAGUGAAAUAAGAUUAUACCCUAGUGGCAGCAAUAUUUAUAGGCAUUGAAACAGAAAUUGGUAAUUGUUACAAAUGUUCAGCAAGCCACAUUUCAUGACCAGCUUUGCAAGAAAAAAUUGAAAGUGUGAACAGCUGUUGGUGCAUUGCAUUUGCAUUUCUGAAGUUUCAAGUGAAGAUAAAACAUUAGCAGCUGUGAUAGAUUGAUUCCUCCAUUUGACCUAGUGCCUCAGGGUGUGCAAUACAUUGAUGUAGUCAGGCUGUCAGGGUGCUGGUGAGAACUGUGGGGAGAUGGAGAAUCUAAGAGAUGAAAACAAGUUUGUUACUUUUUUAAGUUUGCUUUUCUUCUUCUUCUUUUUUUUUAAUCUAGAUAGUCCUAUUGGUAUCUAGCAAUCUGCAUAAUAACUAAAAGAGCCUUUGAUUUAGGAAUUCCAAUGGUUGAUUAUCCUUAGACCUCAUAUACCUAAGAAUAUUAGAGUAGUUAACUCUCAUGUGGAUUGUGUAUCUUUAUUUUUUUAUGUUUUUAUGUGUUUUUGAUAUGUGUAUCUUGAAGAGACUUUAAUUCUACCUCUGAAUGUGUUUGGGUUUCCUCCUCUGGCUUCACUUAAGACACUGUUAGUGUUCUCUUAUGAGAUCCAAAUGCUUAAGGGCAGAAUAACUUUAUUGAUGAGAUUAUUUAAGCCCACCUCUGAUAAUAUUUAUUAAGAAAGUACAAUUUUUAAAAAUCUCGAGGGGCAAUGAAGUAAACUAUCACAGAAUAUAGAAUUGUUUCACUUUCAGGCUCACAGAAGCUCGAGACUUUUGAAGAGAGUCCAGAUGGAAGUAUUAGAGUCCAGAACAGAAGGUGUUGAGUGUCUGAAGCUCUAGAGGGAGAAGCUGGGGAAGGUAGGGAGGUAUUUGAGUCUCUCUUUCUUAAAAGGUUGGUGGUACUUACUCUUUACAGCCCUGCACUCAUGUCUAACUACAGAAAGGAAGGUCUAGGGCUUAUGUUAUGAUAACCAUGAAGCAAAUGUUAGGGCAGUGAAGAUUCUGACACAUUGAGCUAAGAGUUAGCAGAUUUUUGGUUCACUAAUGUUAAUGAGAAAGGAAAGUUAAUUUUUUGACUGAAAUAGUCUUAUUUAAGAAGACCCUUGAAAACCAUUGAAUCAAAUACUCUAUGGUUUUGACAUUCCAGCACUACAAUUUUAGUUGUAUAUGUAAUAAAAAUGAUAGUCAUUUGAAUUUCUCUUAUUUCUGGUUCAUUUGGGUCCAUAGCAUCACUGUGGUAUGUCAUAGGGUGGAUUGACUUAAAACUUUUUUAUUCUUGGAAUUUUUUCCUUAUUUGCGAACUAAAAUAGUUAUGUAAUCAGUGAUGGUAUCUUCUGCAGUUACCUAGGAAGCAGGAAGAUCUUGUGAUAUGAAUCACUUCACAAGAAUACAAUUGACAUCUGAUUAGAUAGGGUCGAUUUUUCUUGCCUUCUUUAGUUAGGGUUAUUGCCUCUGUAUAAGAAAUGGUAUUUGGUCAUUCCCUCUCCACUUCCAACCACUAGACCCGUUAAUCUUAUUGAAGACUUCAGAUUUUAUAUGCAGUCUGUGCAGGUAGCCAGAUGCCAUAUGCUGUUAAUUUCUUAUUCCAUGAAGGCCAGAUCAUACAGCUGGAAAUGAUUGAAAAGAAAAGCAUGUUCUUUUGUUUAACAAGACAAAGCCUAUUGUGUACUCUGCUUCUGAUGCUUAAAAGAUGUAUUUUUUUUUCUUGUGACUGCAUAGUAUGUAGGGCUAAAAGUUUUGAACUCUUCACUUCAGAAAUUACUUUUCCAGACAAAAGAGCAAAACAAUGUUUGUUUAAAUUGUUCUCUGGAACAUGACUGAUAGUGUUUACAACAUUUCUAUGACAUUUUGAUCCAGUAGGGAGUACUUGGAGAGGUAUUUAAAGUGCUUUUCACUAAGUCAGAUGCUUUGUAGUGUUUGAACCUUUUUAAAAAAUCAUUUGAAAGGUUGAAGUUCUGAGUUGAGAGACAGAAAAUGGCCAGGGCUUUCUCUAAAGAGUAAAAAUGACUUAUCAUAAGCAAACCCGAUUUUUUUUCCUUCAAAAAUUGAAAGCCUGCUUCUUGUUUAACUAGAAUAAGACACAUACCCGUUGGUUCAGGGCUUUGUCUCUCAUGCCAUGUCUCUUCAUAAGCGUUAUUUUCCAGAUCUACAUUCUAUUCAAUGGCAGCUUCUUUGGAAAAAGCCAUUGAGGGCCAUGUGUGUAUUAUUUAUGUGUGUUCUGUUUUUUGUUUUUGUUUUUUAUUUUUGUAAAAAUAAAUUCUACAGAGGAAGCUAUAACUUGAUUCAGGUGCCAAAGAUAUGUUUAUAGAACAUAGAGGAAAGCACUAGGUAGGUAUAUUGAACCAACAAUAGAGUAUACUUAGAAAAAUUUGUACUUCAUACAUUAUUUUUUCUAAUCUUGAUGUGACAUACCAGUGCAAGGCAUUUGACUGAUUGAAACUGCCUCAGGAAAUUCUAUGUGCCAUAAAGAAUCCAUGAGUAAAGUACCAAAUUAAAUAAUUGACCCAUUUUACAAAAAGUCUUAUAGAAAGCCCAAGCUUUUUAUGGUAGAUUUUCUGGAGAAUUCUGUUGAAUGACAUCCGACUAUAAGAAUGUUUAAAUUUUGUCUUUAAACUGGGGGCAAUCUUGUUCAGCUUUUUCUAUUUUAAAAUUUAUUUAUUUAAUUUAUUUGAGAGAGAGACAGACAGACAAAUAGACAGAGCAGGUAAAUGCCCAUCUGCUGAUUCAUUACUCAGAUGCCAGAGAGUUGGGAACUUAGUUCAGGUCUCCCAUGUGGACUGCAGGGAACCAACUAUUUUGAGUUAUCAUCUGCUGCUUCCCAGGGUACACAUUAUGUGCGUUUGUGUGUAUAUAUUUAAAUUUUUGAUUAAUGUGUAAUAGUUGUACAUUUUUAUGGGCCACAGUACAAUAUCCCAGCAAAUAUACAGCAACAUAAACUAAUCAAACCAGCUAGUUAAACUUUCUACUUCCUUAUCUUUUCUAUAUUUUAGAGCCUACCAUUGCCUCUCUUCCCUUUAUGUAACAUAUAAUACAUUAUAAUACAUUAUUAUGAAUUAUAGUCUACCCUGUGUGCCAUUCAUUUUCCAACCUCUGUCACCCUUUACCCUCACCCUUCUCCUAGGUCCUAGUAGUCACUAUUUAAAGUUGAGAUUGAAUUAAUAUGUUUAUAUAUACACAAACUGGCACAUGUGAGAGAGAAUGAUAGUUGUCUUUCUGUGUCUUUUUUCAGUUAAUAUAGUGAGCUCUAGCUCAAUCCAUUUUGCUACAGUGUCAGGAUUUUGUUCUUUUUAUGGCUGAAUAAUAGUCCAUGUGUCGGUAUACCACAUUUUAUUUAUCCAUUCAUUCAUCAAUGGGCAUUUAAGUUGAUUCCAUAUCUUGGCUAUUGUGAAUAGUGUUACACUGAAUCUGAGGGUGUAGGUAUUACUUUUAUGUGCUGGUUUCAUUUCCUUUGGUUAUAUACCCUAAGGUGGCAUAAAUGAGUCAUAUUUUUAGUUUUCUGAGGAACCCACAUACUUUUCUCCCUAAUGACUAUAUUAAUUUGUAUCUCCACAAACACAAUAUAAUGGUUCUCUUUUCUCCACAUUCUUGCCAGUAGUUGUUAUUUUUUGUUUUUAUUAAUAAUUGCCAUGCUAACUGGAGUGAGAGGAUACCUCCUUCAUUGGAGUCUUAUCUGUCCUUCCUUCCUUCCUUCUUUAUAGGAGAGAGGGCACAUGAGAGAGUACUUUUCCUGGUCCACUGGCGUGCUCUCCAAAUACCCACAAUGCUGGGACUGAGUCUGGGAGCUAAUAAUGUAAUCUAGGUCUCCCUUGUGGGUAGUGAAAACCCAGUUAGUUGAACCAUCACCUCUCCCUCCCAGGUUUUGCAUUGGCAAGAAGGUAGAUUCAGGACCUAGAGCCAGGAAUUGAACACAGGUACUCUAAUAUGGAAUGCAGGUGUCUUAACUGCUAGUCUAAACACCUUCUCUCUCAUUGUGGUUUUGAUCUGUAUUUUCUUGUUAGCUAGUGAUGUUAAACAUUUUUUCAUUUGUUUGUUGGACAUUAUAUUUCUUCUUCUGAGAACUGUCCAGUUUCCUUUCCUAUUUAUUAACCAGAUUGUUCAUUUUUUGUUGUUGGAUUUUUGAGUUCCUUAUUCUGAAUAUUAAUCCUUUGUCAGAUGAAUAGUUUGCUGGUAUUUUCUCCCAUUCUGUUGAUUGUAGAGAAAGAGAGGUCUUCCAUCUGCGGGUUCACUCCCCAAAUGGCCACAACAGCCAGAGCUGAGCCUAUCUGAAGCCAGGAGCCAGGAGCUUCUUCUGGGUCUCCCAUGUGGGUACAGGGGACCCAAGGACAUGGGCCAUCCUCCACUGUUUUCCCAGGCCCAUUAGCAGGGAGCUGGAUUGGAAGUGGAACAGCUAGGAGUUGAACUGGCGCCCAUGUGGGAUACUGGCACUGCAGGCCAAGGCUUUGACCUGCUGCGCCAUAGCACUGGCACCUGAUUGUUUAUUUACUCUGUCCAUUGCUUCCUUUGCUGCACAGGAGCUUAAUUUGAUAAGGUCCCAUUUGUCUGAUUUUGUUUUUGCUGCCUGUGAUUUUGAGGUCUUAUCCAAAAUGUUGUUGCCUGUGCCAGUGUCUUGAAGUGUUUCCUCUGUUUUCUUUUAGUAGUUCCAUGGUUUUGGGUCUUACAUUCACUUCUUUUAUCUAUUUUGAGUUGAUUUUUGUACAAGGUCAGAGGCAGGAGCAGAAGUUAAGGUCCUGUCUUAUGCAUAUGAAUAUCAUUUCCCCAGCCCCUUUAUUGAAGAGAUUGUGUUUGCUCCAGUGCAUUACCUUCUUGCUUAAAUUUAUCCCAAGGUAUUUUUUUGGUAAUUGUUAUGAAUGGAACUGCUUUUAUACUUUCUCAGUGAAUUCAUUAUUGGUAUAUAUUAUUGCUUUUGAUUUUUUGUGUGUUGAUUUUGUAUCCUCCAACUUUACUGAAUUUGUUUGUUAGUUCUAAUAGUCUGUUGGUGGAUUCUUUAGGAUUUUCUGUGUGAGUAAUCAUGUCAUCUGCAAAGAGGAAAACAUGUCAUCUUCCUCCUUUUCUAUUUCUAUGCCUUUUGUUUCUGAAGGAAAUAUAUUUAGAAAGUAUCUAAGUGUCAUUAGUCCAUUCAUUUUUUGUUGUGCUUUGGGCAACUUAGUUAAACUAAUGCUUGCUUCUUUAUAGAAGUUUCUAAGUUAAAACAUUUUAAGAUAUACAUUAUCUGUCUAAUAUUAUUUUCCAGUCAAUUGCAUAUAUAUGCAUAUAUUGUGUAUAUAAUCAUCAAAAAACUCGACAUAAGGUGGCAAACUUGGCAAGACCUUCUAGAACCACUGGCAGAAGAGGUGACCUCUGUGCCUUCUUCAAUAUUCUGAAGUAGCUCAGAAACACAGCAUUCAGAGUUUCUGUGUACAGUUUACGUUUCUUUCCAGUACUUUGCAGAAGCUCCUGCUCUAGUUUCUCUUCUGCUUUCUUCCACUCUCUCUGCAUUUGUGAUAGAGUUUUCUCUUUUCCUUGAGAGUUAUGAACUUCUUAGGUUUAUUAGUAUCCUCAGCAUCUUUCUCCACUUCUACUUCCUUGAUUCUUAGGCACAACAAUAUUUUUAACAUCUCUGGCCUGACUUCAUAAUUACUUCAUAAUUCAUUUUUGUUACACCUAGAGAAGUUUGGCCUAAUUUAUCAUUUAAUGAGUUCCUUUACUACUUCACAACACAUUUCAGAUACCAAUUUUGACACAUCAUUCAAGAGAUGGACAAUCAAUACGAUGAUGUGAGAAUUACAAUGAUGUAGUGCCACCAACAGCUCACACAAGCUGUUCGCAGCCACCUCUGCUAGUCAUCUGUAUGCCGUUAAGGACAUUGCAUUACUUUUCUUCAGCUUACUUUGCGUCCAAUCUUUAAUCACUUGCUUCAGAUUUUCCAAAUAAAAUUUGUACUGGCUAACCAGGCCUUCUUCAGAUUCUCUUAUCAUUUGGAUUUCUUUGCAGAGCUUGGAAGAUUUUUCUGCUUCUAUUAGGGGUAGGAUUUUAUAUGAAGGAGUAGUCUUUAAAUAACUCCAUCAGAGAACUGUCACCAGCUUUCAACCAGUAACAGCCACAUCAGGAUCCUGUUCCAUCAGCAUGGAAUAUAAUUCUUAAAAUUUCUUUAUGCUGCUUUCUGCAUCUGACACAAUGGCAGAGGCCAAGCCUGCAAUGUGAUUUUUCUUCUGUAGUUUCUUCUUUCUUUCAACCAAACACUCUUCUAUGGUCAGCUCUCUUGAAUAGGAUGUUCAUUGACCUCUUCCUCAAGUUCCAUCUCUUUUUGAUCCUGUUCAUCUUUGUUCUUGUAAAUAAUUGGCUUUUCCCUGGUCUGUACAAUUUAGACCACUUUUAUCUUUGAUAGGAAGCAAAUGAAUCAGUUCCUUCUCUGGUGCAGUUUGCAGAGUUCUUGAUAUUUUUUCAUAUUUAUCUUUAAUGCAUUCAUGCUUUCAUUUCUUGGUAGUAAUGGGCUCACUAGAUGAAAUGAUGGUUCCAUCAGGUUGUAUCACUUAGGGACAUGGAUUUAUUAGUAGCUCUUCAUACUCUCAUUGAGUUUGGAGACCUAACCUAUCAAGAAAGUCUUCACUGUGUCCAGACUGUUUUUCAUAUUCUUUCUGGGCAUGGUGAUGUUCUGAAUAUUCAUCCAAUGAAAUUCUGUACACAUCUCUCUGAAACACUGUUUAAGCUACAUGCAGGUGCUACCAAUGAGGGGUAGAGAUUGUUCUCCAGUGCCUUGAUGUCAUGCUUACCAAGUGCAGAAAGCAAGUUUCUCAACAAUGAGCCCUGGCCUUCAUCAAGAGCCUUUGUACCCUUGCUCUUCAUGUUUUUCCAAAUUUAAACAUUAACAUUUUAGCAUCUACCAGAAUGCUAAUGCAGACUUCCCCAAAAACGGAUCUGUUGCUUGACAGUGAAUCUCAGGGAAGUGGAAUUUUCCUCCCUGAGCUGGAUGAACCUGAGUACUGUCAUACUCAAAACACUGCUCUCUGGGAAUUGCAUGCACUGUGGAGAUAUUGGCAUCCCAUAGUGCAGAGAUUCGCUGCACACCUGAUUGCCGGAGCACCUGCUGGAGGCUCUGAAAUACUCAGGCUGAGCUGUGCCAAAGAUCUGCUGCUGAACUUUUUGAGACCUACAGCCUGGCAGCAAUGACAUUCACUCCUCCUGUUGAAUCUUCACAGUCCAAAAAGGAGAAUAAAAUUGUACAAGGGCAUUCACUUUCUAAAUAAAGAUUUAAAUCAACUAGUCUAAAGACAUUGCAAUGAAGUUACUACUCAGUCAUCCCUGGGUUUUACCAAAUAUUUGAAAACAUCAUUAUGACAGUAGACAGAAUGAAGAAUUGGUAGACUUUGUUGUAUAUUUGCAUGCAGAUACACAUAAAGAUAUGUUGUCUACCUAGGACCUUUGAUUUUUAUACAAGAAAGACUUCCUAAGAAAGAUUAGGAAGAAGACAGAUUACCUUUUAUGUGGCACAUGCCUGGACUUCUGUUCUGUAAAUGUCAUUUCAUUAAGAGAAUUAAAAGCCCCUGAUAGUAUUUGGAAAUUUCUUUCUUUGUGAUGCUGCUUUAAAAAAAAAAACUUACUGUACAUAUUAAAUGAUAGUUUUUUUUAAUAAAAACUUUGGUUUGAAUCUUCCUGGAAUCAGUUGAUAUAUAGAGCAGAAAAAUCAAGACCAUGAGAAUUUUUUAACCAUUUAAGCUACUCUUUAUAUCCACUCUUUUUUUUUUUUUCUUUCAAGAGGCAGAGUUAGACAGACAGAGAGAAAGAGAGAAAGGUCUUCCUUUUUUUUAGUUGGUUCACCCCCAAAAUGGCUGCUAAGGCCAGCGCACUGUGCCGAUCUGAAGGUAGGAGCCAGGUACUUCCUCCUGGUCUCCCAUGUGGGUGCAGGGCUCAAGGACUUGGGCCAUCCUCCACUGCCUUCCUGGGCCACAGUAGAGAACUGGCCUGGAAGAGGAGCAGCGGGGACAGAAUCCGGUGCCCUGACUGGGACUAGAACCCGGGGUGCUGGCGCCGCAGGCGGAGGAUUAGCCAAGUGAGCAGCUGCGCCGGCCUAUAUCUACUCUUUAAGACUAAAUAAAUAUUAUUUAAAAACUAAAUAAUUAUUAUUUAGAAUGAGUAACAUUCUAAAUUUGAGUGAAAAUAUAUUUGUGAAGAUUUUUGAGAAAAAUAGGUUGAAAUUGAAAAAAAAAGCAUAAUCAUAUGCCGUCAUGUUUUAACAUCUUAUGAAAUGAUAUUUUUGGUGUUUCUUUAAUUGUAUUGAUGUAUGUUUUUUUAAAAAUAUUUAUUUAUUUAUUUGAAAGUCAGUUACAGAGAGAGAAGGAUAGGUAGAGAGAGAGUGAGAGAGAUGUUCUAUCCUCUGGUUCACUCCCCAGUUGGCUGCAAUGGCCAGAGCUGUGCCGAUCUGAAGCCAGGAACCAGGGACCAGGGACCAGGAGCCAGGAGCUUCCUUUGGGUCUCCCACAUGGGUGCAGGGGCCCAAGGACAUGGGCCAUCUUCCACUGGUUUCCCGGGCCAUAGCAGAGAGGCUGGAUUGGAAGUGGAGCAGCUGAGACUCAAACCGACUCUCAUAAGGGAUGCCAGCACUGCAGGUGGCGGCUUUACCUGCUACGCCACAGUGCUGGGCCCUUGAUAUAUGUUAAAAUAGUCUGUGAUCCCAGUGAUAAUGACACUUAUUUUAGUGUUACUUCUUAAUUUUUUUUGACUCUGAAUUUUAUAAAAACAAAGAUGAGAAUGGUUCCACCUUCCCUCUUCUUUGUAAAUCAGAAUAAUUUCUUUGAGUUUGUUUCUCCUUCCUAUCUUUUAAAAUUGUAUUAGGUGAAUGGGUUUAUUAGUUUAGAUUUCUGUGACUAGUUAUAUUUGGGGUAAGGGAAGCUUAGUGGUGAACCCCCUACUUGUAAGAUUUUCUUAGCCACUUUUAAUGAGAACUAACCAGUGUUCCAGGAUUUAUAACUAUUUUUCUAUAUUAGAGGAAUGAGUAGCUUUAAAAAAAUAACAAACUUUAUUUUCAAGAAUAGUUUAGGUUUACAGAGAAGUUGAAUUGAAUAUAUACAAUCCCACAAAUUGCUCGCCUUCAUUCUCAGGCAGAGUUUCCUCUUGUUAUGAUCUUACAUUAGUGUGAGCACCCCCUCUCCUUUUUACAAUUAAUAAGUCAUUAUUGAUGACUUUAUUUAUGACAUUAUUAUAACAAAAGCUCAUAGUUUACAUUAGUACUUACUAUUGAUGUUGUGUAUUCUAUGGAUUUUAACAAAUAUAGUAUGUAUCUACCAGUACAGUAUUGUACAGAAUAGGUUUACCACCAUGAAAAUCCUGUGUAUUCCCACCUCCUUAUCCUUCCACCUUCCUCCCUUAAUCCUUGGAAUAACUAAUCUGUUUACUGUUCUUCAUAGUUUUGCCUUUUCCCAAAUAGCAUGCAAUGGCGAUCAACAACUGUAAAUUUCCCCAUAGACUCAGCUUAUGCUGCAUCUCACAGAUUUUCUUGUUAUAUUUUCAUUUAGUUUGAACUAGUUUUUAAUUUCUUUUGAGACUGCCUCUUUGACCCAUAUGUUAUUUUGAAGUGUGUUUUCAGUCUCCAAGUAUUUUGGAGUUUGCCAGCUAUCUUUCUGUUAUUGACUUCCAAAGUCCUGUGUGUGUAUGUGUGUGUGUGUAUGCUCAUAUCCUUUUCCAUCCCUAACCUCUGAUAACCUCUGAUCUCUUCUCCAUGCUUUAAAGCAUAUAGUUUUGUCUCCUUAAGGACGUCAAAUAAUUGAUAUCACACAGAUGUAUACUUUAGAGAUCUUUCAUUCAGCAUGCCUUUGAUAUUCUUCCAACUUAUUGUGUGGAUCAAUAGUACACUGCUUUUUAUUUUUGAGUCUUAUUCCAUUGUAUGGAUGUGCCCCAAGUUGUUUAUAUCAAUCAGCUGUUGAGGGAAAUUUGGAUUGUUUUCAAUUAAUAGAGGUGAUGUAAAUAAUUACAUACAUAUUUGCAUGAAGAUAUCUGGGGUAAAUACCGUGGAAUGGGAUUUCUCAGUCAGAGGGUAGAUAUGUUUCACUUUGUAAGAAAUGAUGAAACUGUUAUCCAGAAUGACUGUGUCCUUUUUCAUUCCCACAGCCCUUUUUCAAACUUUAAAAAGUAACCUUGUAUGUUAUUGUGGUUUUAAUUUUCAUCUCCAUAAUGGCUAAUGAUCUUGAGCAACUUUUCAUGUGUUUAUUUUCCAUCCUGUGUUCUCUUUGGUGAAGUAUCUGUUCAAAUAUUUUGCCCAUUUUUAAAUUGAGCUUUUCUCUUCUUUUGAACCUUUGGGUUUGUUUAUAUAUUCUGGAUGCAAAUCCUUUAUUAGAUGCAUGAUUUGCAGCUAUUUUCACUCGUCUAUACCCAGUUUUUUAUUUUUUUAUGUUGUCUUUUGUAGAGCAAAAGGUUUUAGUAUGAAAGUGAAUCAUCAUUUUGGUGCCAUGCCUCAGGACUCUGCUUUAUACUUGGUCAUGAAAACUUUCUUCUAAAUAUUUUAUAGACGAAUAUUUCAUGAUCUACUUUCAGUUAAUUAUUGUAACAGUUUAUAAAAGUUCUGAGAUUUAGUUUAAUGUGUCUUCUUUCCCUUCGUCCUUAUCCUCUUCCCAUUUAAUGAAAAAGGACUAUCCUUUCUCCAUUGAUUUAUUUUUGCACUUUUUAUAAAAAAAAAGAAGGCCAUACUUGUGUGAGUCUGUUUCUUGAAUAUCAUUUUUAUUCCACUGAUGUCCAUUACUGGUGUCUGUCCCUUUGCUUGUCUUGAUUAUUGUAGCUUUAAAAGUAGGUCUUGGCCGGCACCGCGGCUCAAUAGGCUAAUCCUCUACCUAGCGGCGCCGGCACACCGGGUUCCGGUCUGGGCACCGGAUUCUUUCCCAGUUGCCCCUCUUCCAGGCCAGCUCUUUGCUGUGGCCCAGGAAGGCAGUGGAGGAUGGCCCAAGUCCUUGGGCCCUGCACCCCAUGGGAGACCAGGAGAAGCACCUGGCUUCUGCCUUCAGAUCAGCGCGGUACGCUGGCCGCAGCGCGCCAGCCAUGGCAGCCAUUGGAGGGUGAACCAACGGCAAAGGAAGACCUUUCUCUCUGUCUGUCUCUCUCACUAUCCACUCUGCCUGUCAAAAAAAUAAAAAAAAAAAUUAAAAAAAUU
Oryctolagus cuniculus (rabbit) is the source of this 53068-nucleotide non-coding RNA. The record is from RefSeq and is a predicted model, not a curated record. NCBI's taxonomy places the organism in Eukaryota, Metazoa, Chordata, Mammalia, Lagomorpha, Leporidae.